UCGUGAAUUGGACGGAUUUGUGUCUAGUAGAUGGCAGAAGCUUGAAUUAGGCCCAUCGCGUUUGCCAUGGCAGUGAAUCGCUGGCGGUUGCUUAUUAGCUUAGGUAGGCCGCACACUGGGGCCAGAGCUAACAGCUUUAUUUGAUCAAUUGAUGCAAUUGAACAGUUAAUUUGCUAUAAUUUCAAUUUGCUGGCUUACUGCUGUGUGCUGUGCUGAAGGGCUGUCUUAAAUGUGCUGUUACUCUCUCCAGAUCCUUUUGUUUAGUUUAUGUUCACGAUGUUGGUCUAUAAGAGAAUACUGUGCUAUAGUAGGUAUGUUUAAAUCAUGCUGCACGGAAUGUCGAUUGGUCAUUUAGAAAUUAUAUCCGGGUAGGCGGGUACUAGCGUACCAUGUGACUGAACUUUAGGGUUCACAGAUUUAGGCGUUAGUUGGCUUUACGAUGAGUUGAGGAGAAAACUAUUAUUGAUGAUUGCUUAACAGGCAGUAGAAUAAUACCAGCAUAUUUGCGUCUUAGAAAGUACUGCAGUUGGGAUGUAAUUUGUAAACAGGAAAAUGUUCCAUCUGUGGCGUCUUCAUUUCUGAUACCACUGCUACAAACUAUUGUACUGUUAAAACAUAGAAGGAUGAACCACAUAAAGGCCAAUCAUGUUAUCGUUUUAUAUGUCGUCUGUCAUUAGAACCGGUACAAUUUACAUGUGUUUCUUUCAAUAAACUUGGUCAUUCUGACUAUUGUUUUUAACAUUGACUCCUUCGGAUAUUUAAAAUAGACCAUUCGGUGGAAUAUCGUAUGUUACAUACCUGGCUGCUAGGUAGGAUGUUCGUGUUUCUUUCGAUAGUUAAAAUGACAAAUUAAAGAUAUUUGGUUGCUAGACCAUAGAAGAUGAAAACAGAUAAUGGAAGUUCCUUCUUGAAAUGUGGAUACUAGAAUCUGUAUCUGAAAUUCUUGAGUAGUUAUAAACUCCAAAAAUCAAAGAUUGAGUAAUCUUGAAGAAGAAGAUCAUAUAUCGUCCUUGAAAUAUUUGUCCUAUGCACCUCUCAUAUGGGUUUCUUGGAAAGAGGAAUACCUCUUGUAUGGUCUGACUACCUAAGGAUUCCUUGUAUCAAGUACUAACACUACUCCAUACUGUUAGUUAUCAUUUGUCUCUUUACUUCCCUUCUUCUAGGUACUGUAUGCGUACUAAGCGAAUAUUUAAAGACCUCAAUGAAAAUCCUUACGUUGUUGAACUUGAUCUCCGAGGUAAUGGUCCAGAUCAUGUGGAACCCAGUCCAUUUGCAUUUGUCAAGGAUUUGUGUAUACUGUUAGUAAUAUAUCAUAUGUAUACGCAAUGCAGAGGAUGGCCGAGACAUUCAAGGUGUUCUUCUAGACCUAGUUGGGCGCAAUACUGUGCCACAGGUGUUUGUGAAUGGCCACCACGUUGGUGGCUCAGAUGGUCAGUGCUCAAACUUCCCUGCUGCACUUAUGUCUGUAAGUAACAUGUUAGUACCUGUAACUAAUUUUAAUAAUCUUUCACGGUGCACCUUGCAGAUACAAAAACUGCUCUUUCAGACGGACAACUUCAGAAACUUCUUGGUCAGAGUCAGUCGCAGUGAUGAUCACCGCCGAAGCUUGGUAUUGCCCAAAACUUGUGAAAUGUCUAACAUGCGGUGUUCCUUAUGGGAGGAAUGGAACCUUAACACUCUUUAGGAAUAUGAACAGAGUGUUGCAGCUCAUGCCAGGAUUUUUUAUUUUUUUGAGUGGAAGUGUUGUGACAAAAAUCCAUGUGCUGGAUUGUAUGGUUUUCUCAAGUGCAUAUACAUUUAUCUGUUGUGCCUGUUUUUAUUACUGUUUGUGUUCAUAAGUACUCUACUUCCUCUUCCAUUUUGUAUCACAUGACUUGGUUUCAGCCUUCAUAUUAUGGAAUUUUAUUGGAAUAUCAUUGCAAACGAAGUAGUGAAAUGUUGUCCCGCAGAUCCGAGUAUCUUUGCAGCAUUCCUGAACUUACAAAGAUACGAGUCCUGGUCCAAGCAGUGCUGACUGCAAUCCCCUGUUCCUCAUGUCGUUGGACCCACCUCCAUGGGUUUUCACUUUUCAAGGAGAUUGAUAAAAUUAGAAGAGCUUUGCUGUGAAGGGGAAGCGAAUCGGUCGCCGGUGGGCACUGCCUGGUGAAUUGGAAAACAUUAUGCAGACCAAGAUUGCCAGAGGUGGCAUCUUGGACCUUUACACCAUACCACUCAGCGUUUAGGUUGAGACUUCCAUGGCGGAGAACAAGCCCUGGUGUUCUCUCUUCAACGCCGCGACAAGAGUUCAGAUUGGUAAUGGGAAGAACAUGUAUUUCUGGACUGUCGUCGAUGCGCCAUCGACCCGAAAUCAUGUGCCACCACUACCUCCGCCACUGCCAACAUCUCGGUAUCUCACAGGAGUAACGUCGUUUCCAACCCUAGCUACCGCCACCUAGAUCUUCUCUCCUCCCCCUCCCUCUCGGCCUGGCGUGACGAGAGCCUGCCCUUUUUUGUCUUUUCCUUAGGUUUUGAUUUUCUGUCAGAUUGACGAGGUGGGGCCGACUAUGUCAUGUUUGAAUAAGGUCUCUCCAGCCUCUCCCUACCUCGACGACACCUGAUCUGGCACCGACGAAGGGCUUGUGAGAGUUUGUCUCAUCAAAUAUGUUGGCUCUCUUUAGAUCUUGAUAGUUGGUGUGUCUAUCAAGGAGAGCAAUUGGCUAGCUAUUUGUACAGUGACAUUUAUACCUUAUGUGUUUUCUGUGGCAUAGUUUGGUUUCUCCAACUAGGACCGGUGGCGAUGGAUUGCACGCCUGUACUACGUAGGGUAAUGCUCCAACAGAUACCGAUGUUUCUCCAGCGACUUCUAGAUCUCGUUUCAAGUGAUGAGUGGCUAUUGUGAUCUUUAAGUCUAGUAUGAUGAGAACUUUCGCAGGUCCCUUUUGGUUUAUUGUUGGUUGAGUGUGAUUUAUUAAUCAGACAAAAAAGAAAUCUAGUAUAUUUUUUCCAGGUAUAAUUUUAUUUUUAACUAGUAGUUCUUCCUGUUUUCCUUGAUAAUUAUUACUGUCAGAUCUAAGACACCUUUUGGUGUCUUCUUUUAAAAAACGGAAGAACACUCAUGUAAGGGCAUCUCCGACGUUGGCCCUCGAACCGCUUGCAAUCGUCCGGACCACGUGGUCCAGACGUGUUUUGCCAUCCAACACGUGCCUGUAUCGGUUCGCCGAUCAGUCCAGACGUGCUUUUUCUCGCAUACUGGAAACNNNNNNNNNNNNNNNNNNNNNNNNNNNNNNNNNNNNNNNNNNNNNNNNNNNNNNNNNNNNNNNNNNNNNNNNNNNNNNNNNNNNNNNNNNNNNNNNNNNNNNNNNNNNNNNNNNNNNNNNNNNNNNNNNNNNNNNNNNNNNNNNNNNNNNNNNNNNNNNNNNNNNNNNNNNNNNNNNNNNNNNNNNNNNNNNNNNNNNNNNNNNNNNNNNNNNNNNNNNNNNNNNNNNNNNNNNNNNNNNNNNNNNNNNNNNNNNNNNNNNNUCCAAACCGCUGCCGCUCCCGCUUCUGACUGCCCUAGCCCACCCAAAACCCCUCCCUCAUCCUGCGCCCCUUAUCGCCUAAAGGCAGCUGCCCGCAUUCAUGCCGCUCUAGAGCACCCGUUCCGCAUUGACGCUGGUCCAGAGUGGACGUGCCUCUCGCUGGCACCGGCAUUGAAGCGGCUUGCUGGGCGAGGGCACCACCUGUGCCGCGUCCUCAGUGUUUGUGCUUGUUCAAUGUCAUAGAGACGUUUGCUGGAUGAGACGAAUAUCUACCACACCCGUUCAAUGCCCGCCCCUUUGUCUGCCGCCAUUAAACAGGCUUGCCGGCCAAGAAACCAACUCCGGCGCCUACGCAUUGACGCACCGGACGCUUGGCCUCGCUGACAUCCACUGUUUAAAGGCGAAUAAACCCGGCUCACAACGCACCACAUCCCAUCCGCUCCCCAUCUUCCUCCUGUGCACCAUGUUCGCCAUGACCGCGAGCAGGAAGGCCUCAUGGGAGAGCCUCUCGGCCUAGUAGAAGCACAAGGUGGCCACCCCUUGCGGCCUCCUGGCAGAGUCAUCGUGCCAGGUGGAUAGAGGCCGUCAUGUGUUGGGGAACGUAGCAGAAAUUCAAAAUUUUCCUACGUGUCACCAAGAUCUAUCUAUGGAGAAACCAGCAACGAGGGGAAGGAGAGUGCAUCUACAUACCCUUGUAGAUCGCUAUGCGGAAGCGUUCAAGAGAACGGGGUUGAAGGAGUCGUACUCGUCGUGAUCCAAAUCACCGGAGAUCCUAGUGCCGAACGGACGGCACCUCCGCGUUCAACACACGUACAGCCCGGUGACGUCUCCCAUGCCUUGAUCCAGCAAGGAGAGAGGGAGAGGUUGAGGAAGACUCCAUCCAGCAGCAGCACAAGGGCGUGGUGGUGGUGGAGGAGCGUGGUACUCCAGCAGGGCUUCGCCAAGCACCGCAAGAGACGAGGAGGGAGAGGGGUAGGGCUGCGCCAAGAAGGAGAGGAACUCGUGUGUGUUGGGCAGCCCAAACCUCAAGUAUAUAUAGGGGGAGGGGAGGGGAUGCGCCCCCAACUAGGUUUCCACCCCUAGGGGUGGCGGCCAGCCUAGAUCCCAUCUAGGGGGCGGCCAAGGGGGGGAGAGAGGGGGGCGCACCACUAGGUGGGCCUUAGGCCCAUCUAAGCCUAGGGUUUGCCCCCUUCCACUCUCCCUUGUGCCUUGGGCCUUGGCGGGGGGGCGCACCAGCCCACCUGGGGCUCGUCCCCUCCCGCACUUGGCCCAUGCAGCCCUCCGGGGCUUAUAGCCCCACUUGGUGGACCCCCGGGACCCUCCCGGUGGUCCCAGUAUGUUACCGAUAAACCCGAAACUUUUCCGGUGACCAAAACAGGACUUCCCAUAUAUAAAUCUUUACCUCCGGACCAUUCCGGAACUCCUCGUGACGUCCGGGAUCUCAUCCACUCCGAACAACAUUCGGUAACCACAUACAAACUUCCUUUAUAACCCUAGCGUCAUCGAACCUUAAGUGUGUAGACCCUACGGGUUCGGGAACCAUGCAGACAUGACCGAGACGUUCUCCGGUCAAUAACCAACAGCGGGAUCUGGAUACCCAUGUUGGUUCCCACAUGUUCCACGAUAAUCUCAUCGGAUGAACCACGAUGUCGAGGAUUCGAUCAACCCCGUAUACAAUUCCCUUUGUCUAGCGGUAUUGUACUUGCCCGAGAUUCGAUCGUCGGUAUCCCGAUACCUUGUUCAAUGUCGUUACCGGCAAGUCUCUUUACUCGUUCCGUAACACAUCAUCCCGUGAUCAACUCCUUGAGCACAUUGUGCACAUUAUUAUGAUGUUCUACCGAGUGGGCCCAGAGAUACCUCUCCGUCACACGGAGUGACAAAUCCCAGUCUCGAUUCGUGCCAACCCAACAGAAACUUUCGGAGAUACCUGUAGUGUACCUUUAUAGCCACCCAGUUACGUUGUGAAGUUUGGCACACCCAAAGUAUUCCUACGGUAUCCGGGAGUUUCACAAUCUCAUGGUCUAAGGAAAUGAUACUUGACAUUAGAAAAGCUUUAGCAUACGAACUACACGAUCUUUGUGCUAGGCUUAGGAUUGGGUCUUGUCCAUCACAUCAUUCUCCUAAUGAUGUGAUCCCGUUAUCAACGACAUCCAAUGUCCAUGGUCAGGAAACCGUAACCAUCUAUUGAUCAACGAGCUAGUCAACUAGAGGCUUACUAGGGACAUGGUGUUGUCUAUGUAUCCACACAUGUAUCUGAGUUUCCUAUGAAUAAAAUUCUAGCAUGGAUAAUAAACGAUUAUCACGAACAAGGAAAUAUAAUAAUAAUCAAUUUAUUAUUGCCUCUAGGGCAUAUUUCCAACAGUCUCCCACUUGCACUAGAGUCAAUAAUCUAGUUCACAUCGUCAUGUGAUUAACACUCACAGGUCACAUCGCCAUGUGACCAACAUCCAAAGAGUUUACUAGUGUCACUAAACUAGUUCACAUCAUCAUGUGAUUAAGACUCAAUGAGUUUUGGGUUUGAUCAUGUUUUGCUUGUGAGAGAGGUUUUAGUCAACGGGUCUGCAACAUUCAGAUCCGUAUGUACUUCACAAAUCUCUAGGUCAUAUUAUAAAUGCUGCUUCCAUGCUCCGCUUGGAGCUAUUCCAAAUGGUUGCUCCACUAUACAUAUCCGGUUUGCUACUCAGAGUCAUUCGGAUAGGUGUUAAAGCUUGCAUCGAUGUAACCCUUUACGCCGAACUCUUUAUCACCUCCAUAAUCGAGAAACAUGUCCUUAUUACUCCAAGGACAAUUUUGACCGCUAUCUAGUGAUCCACUCCUAGAUCACCUUUGUACCCUCUUGCCAGACAUGUGGCAAGGCACACAUCAGGUGCGGUACUCAUCAUGGCAUACCGUAUAGAGCCUAUGACAAAAGCACAGGGGACGACAUUCGUCCUUUCUCUUUCUUCUUCCGUGGUCGAGCUUUAAGUCUUAACUUCAUACCUUACAACUCAGGCAAGAACUCCUUCUUUGACUGAUCCAUCUUGAACACCUUCAAGAUCAUGUCAAGGUAUGUGCUCAUUUGAAAGUACCGUUAAGCGUUUUGAUCUAUCCUUAUAGAUCUUGAUGCUCAAUGUUCAAGUAGCUUAAUCCAGGCUUUCCAUUGAAAAACACUUUCCAAAUAACUCUAUAUGCUUUCCAGAAAUUCUACAUCAUUUCUGAUCCACAAUAUGUCAACAACAUAUACUCAUCAGAAAUUCUAUAGUGCUCCCACUCACUUCUUUGGAAAUACAAGUUUCUCAUAAACUUUGUAUACACCCAAAAUCUUUGAUCAUCUCAUCAAAGCAUACAUUCCAACUCCGAGAUGCUUACUCCAGUCCUUAGAAGGAUUGCUGGAGCUUUGCAUACUUAUUAGCAUCUUUCAGGAUUGACAAAACCUUCCAGUUGUAUCACAUACAACCUUUCCUCAAGAAAAUCGUCGAGGAAACAAUGUUUUGACAUCCUAUCUGCAAGAUUUCAUAAAUAAUGCAGUAAUCGCUAAUAUAAUUCCAACAGACUCUUAGCAUCACUACGAGUGAGAAAGUCUCAUCAUAGUCAACUCCUUGAACUUGUCAGAAAAAAUCUUAACGACAAGUCGAGCUUUCUUAAUGGUGAUACUUACCAUCAUUGUCCGUCUUCCUUUUAAAAUCCAUCUGUACUCAAUAGCCUUACGACCAUCGAGCCGUUCUGCCAAAGUCUACACUUUGUUUUCAUACAUGGAUCCUCUCUCGGAUUAUAUGGCCUCGAGCCAUUUUGGAAUCCAGGCCCACCAUCACUUCUCCAUAGCUCGUAGGUUCAUUGUUGUCUAGCAACAUGACUUCCAAGACAGGAUUACGUACCACUCUGAAGUAGUACGCAUCCUUGUCAUCCCACGAGGUUUGGUAGUGACUUGAUCUGAAGUUUCAUGAUCACUAUCAUAAGCUUCCACUUCAAUUGGUGUAGGUGCCACAGGAACAACUUCCUAUGCCCUGCCACACACUAGUUGAAGAGACGGUUCAACAACCUUAUCAAGUCUCCACCAUCCACCCACUCAAUUCUUUCGAGAGAAACUUUUCCUCGACAAAGGACCCGAUUCUAGAAACAAUCCCUUAUUGCUUUCAGAUCUGAGACAUGAGGUAUACCCAACUGUUUUGGGUGUCCUAUGAAGAUGCAUUUAUCCGCUUUGGGUUCGAGCUUAUCAGCCUGAAACUUUUUUUCACAUAAGCGUCGCAGCCCCAAACUUUUAAGAAAUGACAGCUUAGGUUUCUCUAAACCAUAGUUCAUACGGUGUCAUCUCAUCGGAAUUACGUGGUGCCCUAUUUAAAGUGAAUGCGGUUGUCUCUAAUGCCUAACCCAUAAACCAUCGUGGUAAUUCGAUAAGAGACAUCAUGGUAUGCAUCAUAUCCAAUAGGGUGCAGUUAUGAUGUUCGGACACACCAUCACACUAUGGUGUUCCAGGAUGUAUUAGUUGUGAAACAAUUUCCACAAUGUCUUAAUUCUGUGCCAAACUCGUAAUUCAGAUAUUCAUCUCUAUGAUCAUAUCAUAGAUCUUCUAUCCUCUUGUCACGACGAUCUUUCGACUUCACCCUGAAUUACUUGAACCUUUCAAUAAUUCAGACUCGUGAUUCAUCAAGUAAAUAUACUCAACAUCUACUCAAAUCAUCUCUGAAGUAAGAACAUAACGAUAUCCACUACAUGCCUCAACACUCAUUGGACUGCACACAUCAAAAUGUAUUACUUCCAACAAGUUGCUUUCUAGUUCCAUUUUACUGAAAACGAGGCUUUCAGUCAUCUUGCCCAUUUGGUAUGAUUUGCAUGUCUCAAGUGAUUCAAAAUCAAGUGAGUCCAAACGGUCCAUUUGCAUGGAGUUUCUUCAUGCAUAUACACCAAUAGACAUGGUUCGCAUGUCUCAAACUUUUCAAAAAUGAGUGAGUCCAAAGAUCCAUCAACAUGGAGCUUCUUCAUGCAUUUUAUACCAAUAUGACUCAAAUUGCAGUGCCACAUUUGUGUGGUACUAUCAUUACUAUCUUGUACCUUUGGCAUGAAAAUGUGUAUCACUACGAUCGGGAUGGUAUUAUUCAAAUAAACAGAGUAACCAUUAUUCUCCUUAAAUGAAUAACCGUGUCGCGAUAGACAUAAUCCAAUCAUGUCUAUGCUCAACGCAAACACCAAAUAACAAUUAUUUAGGUUUUAAUACCAAUCUCGAUGGUAGAGGGAGCGUACGAUAUUUGAUCAACCUUGGAAAUACUUCCAACACAUAUCGUCAUCUCACCUUUAGCUAGUCUCCGUUUAUUCCGUAGCUUUUAUUUCGAGUUACUAACACUUAGCAACCGAACCGGUAUCUAAUACCCUGGUGCUACUAGGAGUACUAGUAAAGUACAUAUUAACAUAAUGUAUAUUCAAUAUACUUCUAUCGACAGCCUUCUCAUCUACCAAGUGUCUAGGGUAAUUCUGCUCCAGUGGCUGUUCCCCUUAUUACAGAAGCACUUAGUCUCGGGUUUGGGUUCAACCUUGGGUUUCUUCACUAGAGCAGUAGCUGAUUUGCCGUUUCAUGAAGCAUCCCUUUUUUCCCUUGCCCUUCUUGAAACUAGUGGUUUCACCAACCAUCAACAAUUGAUGCUCCUUCUUGAUUUCUACUUUUGUGGUGUCAAACAUCGCGAAUAUCUCAAGGAUCAUCAUAUAUGUCCCCGAUACAUUAUAGUUCAUCACGAAGCUCUAGCAGCUUGGUGGUAAUGACUUCGGAGAAACAUCAAUAUCUCAUCUGGAAGAUCAACUCCCACUCGAUUCAAAUGAUUGUUGCACUCAGACAAUCUGAGCACAAGCUCAACAAUUGAGCUUUUCUCCUUAGUUUGUAGGCUAAGAAAAUCGUCGGAGGUCUUAUACCUCUUGACGUGGGCACGAGCCUGAAAUCCCAAUUUCAGCCCUCGAAACAUCUCAUAUGUUUCGCGACGUUUCAAAACGUCUUCGGUGCCUCAACUCUAAACCGUUUAACUGAACUAUCACGUAGUUAUCAAAAUGUGUAUGUCAGAUGUUCGCAACAUCCACAGACGACGUUCGAGGUUCAGCACACUGAGCGGUGCAUUAAGGACAUAAGCCUUCUAUGAAGCAAUGAGGACAAUCCUCAGUUUACGGACCUAGUCCGCAUAAUUGCUACUAUCAACUUUCAACUAAAUUUUCUCUAGGAACAUAUCUAAACAGUAGAACUAAAGCGCGAGCCACGACAUAAUUUGCGAAGACCUUUUGACUAUGUUCAGGAUAAUUAAGUUCAUCUUAUGAACUCGCACUCAGAUAGACAUCCCUCUAGUCAUCUAAGUGAUUACAUGAUCCGAGUCAACUAGGCCGUGUCCGAUCAUCACGUGAGACGGACUAGUCAUCAUCGGUGAACAUCUUCAUGUUGAUCGUAUCUACCAUACGACUCAUGCUCGACCUUUCGGUCUCUUGUGUUCCGAGGCCAUGUCUGUACAUGCUAGGCUCUUCAAGUCAACCUAAGUGUUUCGCGUGUGUAAAUCUGUCUUACACCCGUUGUAUGUGAACGUUAGAAUCUAUCACACCUGAUCAUCACGUGGUGCUUCGAAACAACAAACUGUCGCAACGGUGCACAGUUAGGGGGAACACUUUCUUGAAAUUUUAAUGAGGGAUCAUCUUAUUUACUACCGUUGUUAUAAGCAAAUAAGAUGCAUAAACAUGAUAAACAUCACAUGCAAUCAAAUAAUAGUGACAUGAUAUGGCCAAUAUCAUAUAGCUCCUUUGAUCUCCAUCUUGGGGCUCCAUGAUCAUCUUGUCACCGGCAUGACACCAUGAUCUCCAUCAUCAUGAUGUCCAUCACUGUGUCUCCAUGAAGUUGUCUCGCCAACUUAUUACUUCUACUACUAUGGCUACCGGUUAGCAAUAAAGUAAAGUAAUUACAUGGCGUUGUUCAAUGACACGCAGGUCAUACAAUAAAUAAAGACAACUCCUAUGGCUCCUGCCGGUUGUCAUACUCAUCGACAUGCAAGUCGUGAUUCCUAUUACAAGAACAUGAUCAAUCUCAUACAUCACAUAUCAUUCAUCACAUUCUUCUUGGCCAUAUCACAUCACAUAGCAUACCCUGCAAAAACAAGUUAGACAUCCUCUAAUUGUUGUUUGCAUGUUUUACGUGGCUGCUAUGGGUUUCUAGCAAGAACGUUUCUUACCUACGCAAAAACCACAAUGUGAUAUGCCAAUUGCUAUUUACCCUUCAUAAGGACCCUUUUCAUCGAAUCCGAUCCGACUAAAGUGGGAGAGACAGACACCCGCUAGCCACCUUAUGCAACUAGUCCAUGUCAGUCAGUGGAACCAGUCUCACGUAAGAGUACGUGUAAGGUCGGUCCAGGCCGCUUCAUCCCACAAUGCCGCCGAAUCAAGAUUGGACUAGUAACGGUAAGCAUAUUGAACAAAGUCAACGCCCACAACUACUUUGUGUUUAACUCGUGCAUAGAAUCUACGCAAUAGACCUAGCUCUGAUACCACUGUUGGGGAACGUAGCAGAAAUUCAAAAUUUUCCUACGUGUCACCAAGAUCUAUCUAUGGAGAAACCAGCAACGAGGGAAGGAGAGUGCAUCUACAUACCCUUGUAGAUCGCUAUGCGGAAGCGUUCAAGAGAACGGGGUUGAAGGAGUCGUACUCGUCGUGAUCCAAAUCACCGGAGAUCCUAGUGCCGAACGGACGGCACCUCCGCGUUCAACACACGUACAGCCCGGUGAAGUCUCCCAUGCCUUGAUCCAGCAAGGAGAGAGGGAGAGGUUGAGGAAGACUCCAUCCAGCAGCAGCACAAGGGCGUGGUGGUGGUGGAGGAGCGUGGUACUCCAGCAGGGCUUCGCCAAGCACCGCAAGAGACGAGGAGGGAGAGGGGUAGGGCUGCGCCAAGAAGGAGAGGAACUCGUGUGUGUUGGGCAGCCCAAACCUCAAGUAUAUAUAGGGGGAGGGGAGGGGCUGCGCCCCCAACUAGGUUUCCACCCCUAGGGGUGGCGGCCAGCCUAGAUCCCAUCUAGGGGGCGGCCAAGGGGGGGAGAGAGGGGGGCGCACCACUAGGUGGGCCUUAGGCCCAUCUGAGCCUAGACUUUGCCCCCUUCCACUCUCCCUUGCGCCUUGGGCCUUGGUGGGGGGGGGGGCGCACCAGCCCACCUGGGGCUGGUCCCCUCCCGCACUUGGCCCAUGCAGCCCUCCGGGGCUUAUAGCCCCACUUGGUGGACCCCCGGGACCCUCCCGGUGGUCCCGGUAUGUUACCGAUAAACCCGAAACUUUUUCGGUGACCAAAACAGGACUUCCCAUAUAUAAAUCUUUACCUCCGGACCAUUCCGGAACUCCUCGUGACGUCCGGGAUCUCAUCCACUUUGAACAACAUCCGGUAACCACAUACAAACUUCAUUUAUAACCCUAGCGUCAUUGAACCUUAAGUGUGUAGACCCUACGGGUUCGGGAACCAUGCAGACAUGACCGAGACGUUCUCCGGUCAAUAACCAACAGCGGGAUCUAGAUACCCAUGUUGGUUCCCACAUGUUCCACGAUGAUCUCAUCGGAUGAACCACGAUGUCGAGGAUUCGAUCAAUCUCGUAUACAAUUCCCUUUGUCUAGCGAUAUUGUACUUGCCCGAGAUUCGAUCAUUGGUAUCCCGAUACCUUGUUCAAUGUCGUUACCGGCAAGUCUCUUUACUCGUUCCGUAACACAUCAUCCCGUGAUCAACUCCUUGAUCACAUUGUGCACAUUAUGAUGAUGUCCUACCGAGUGGGCCCAGAGAUACCUCUCCGUCACACGGAGUGACAAAUCCCAGUCUCGAUUCGUGCCAACCCAACAGACACUUUCGAAGAUACCUGUAGUGUACCUUUAUAGCCACCCAGUUACGUUGUGACAUUUGGCACACCCAAAGUAUUCCUACGGUAUCCGGGAGUUGCACAAUCUCAUGGUCUAAGGAAAUGAUACUUGACAUUAGAAAAGCUUUAGCAUACGAACUACACGAUCUUUGUGCUAGGCUUAGGAUUGGGUCUUGUCCAUCACAUCAUUCUCCUAAUGAUGUGAUCCCGUUAUCAACGACAUCCAAUGUCCAUGGUCAGGAAACCGUAACCAUCUAUUGAUCAACGAGCUAGUCAACUAGAGGCUUACUAGGGACAUGGUGUUGUCUAUGUAUCCACACAUGUAUCUGAGUUUCCUAUCAAUACAAUUCUAGCAUGGAUAAUAAACGAUUAUCAUGAACAAGAAAUAUAAUAAUAAUAAAUUUAUUAUUGCCUCUAGGGCAUAUUUCCAACAUCAUGGCAGCGAGCUCUCUAGAGGUCUCCGACGACCCCAUGAUAGAGAUUGGCUCAGACGACGACUAUCUGCUAGAGCCUGCCUCGGUGCAUGUUGGCUUGACGAUGGAGUAGGCACAUGCACACUUCAACGCCGCCAUGCUGAGGAGUUGUUGGCACCCACACCUAUGUCAGUGUUGCAGCAGGCGCAGGAGGAACGACGCAACAACCUGUUCCUCCUCGAGCAGCGCUGGUUGACGAAGGGUCAGAUCUACAGCAAGGGAACGAGCGAGGAGGUCGUGGUGCCCAUGAUCGCAUUGAACCCCAACUUCAACGCUUAUCAGUAGGCGCUCUAUGAGGCCACCCGCGCUCAAGCCGCUCGGAAUGCGCAGGUGACGCUGGCUGCGCAGGUGAUCGUGGACAAGAACGCCACCAGUUGCCCGUCCUAUGCACCGCCAAACACAGGUUGACUGCGUCGUUGGGAUGACAAGCGUGCCAGCCCCUUCACUUCCACCGUGGACCUCACGUCCAUUGGCGACAGACAGAUCGCGAACUCCGACUAGGAUGAAUAGGGCAUCGAAGGUGGUGGGAGCUCGAGUCCCAAAUGGGACGACCUGUCUCCCAUGUUCUGCUCUUUCUCGCCGGUGGCUGCAUCUUCACUUCACGGGUUUUAUCCCCACCGCUCAUGGAGACGGCAAAUGGAGGAGGUGCUCACUAGAAGGGAAUAAGAAGGACUUGGACGAGGGCACCACCGUAGGCUAGAUUUAGGCAUGGUCCCCUUUUUUUAAUGAAACUGUCCGAAAUAUAAUGAAUUUUGUCCGGUUUGUAUGAAAAUCAUCCGGUUUGCAUGUAAUUCAUUCGAUUAGUUGAAACUUGGCUUGAAAUGUAUGCAAAUAGUAUUGGAUGACCGCCUUCCUCAUGUGUGUCCACGGACGAAUGCGGUGUCCAGGGUCAGAGAUGCCCUAACUCGGUGGUAAUGGACCCCUAAAAAACCAAAUAUGUUAAGCAUAAGGGCUUGUUAGGGGGGUACAGACCCUUCCUUCUGAUUCUCUUCAACCCUCCUUGAUUAUCAGGUGGGUGGGGCCCCUCCCUCACCCUUAAUCCAAGGACUCCGAUAACGCCCACACGUGUGGGUGUUAAGGGGUCUGUCCAUAUGUUUUGUGUGGUGUCUAAGAGGAUAAGCUCACACGUCUACGUGUGGGCAAAACAAGUAAUGCCCACACAUCUCUUUUUUUCCUCGCGGUCCCUCUCACACGCCUAUGUGUGGGUAAAAUAGAUAACGCCCACAUGCCCGUACAUCAGGCCUCCUAUCUCACCGCACGCCCCGCGUGACAGUCACCACGCGCCCGCAGUUGCCAUGGUCCGGAUCCUCUUCCAUGUUUGUUUAACUGCAGUUGCCAUGUCAGACAACUACAGUUGCCAUGGUUGCUCAACUGCAGUUGCCAUCUCAGGUCAAGUGCCAGAUGCCAUUUUUGGACAACUGCAGCUGUUGCCAUGUAUGGUCUUGUUUACUAUAGUUGCCAUGAUUUGAAAACUUUAGGGGUUGCCACCUACUAACACUAGGAAGUUGCCAUGUAUGGUCUGGUUUACUACAAUUGUCAUGAUUUGAAAAUUUUAGGAGUUGCCACCUACUAACACUAGGCAGUUACCGUGUAGUGCUACAAAGAGACAUGGCAAAAUAACAUGUUCGGGUAAAAAGAGAGAGUUGCCAUCUACUUACAAGCACACUAGGACAGUUGUCAUGUUGUAACACCCACGAUGCGGCUAUAUCUCCCACGUGUCGGAGUACGACUUAGAGGCAUAACCGCAUAGUAGGCAUGUCGCAAGAGGGGUAAUCUUUACACAUCCCAUGUACUGAAUAAGAAAGGGAUAAAGAGAUGGCUUACAAUCGCCACUUCACACAAUACAUAAAUAUAGCAUUACAUCAUCUAGAUACAAUCAAGGUCCGACUACGGAACCAAAAUAAAGACAACCCCAAAUGCAUAGAUCCCCGAUCGCCCCGACUGGGCUCCACUACUGAUCAACUGGAAAACGAAACAACACAACAAACACGAUCUUCAUCGAGCUCCUCCUUGAGCUCGAUUGCGUCACCUGCACAAUAUCAUCGGCACCUGCAACUGGUUUUGGAAGUAAUCUGUGAGUCACGGGGACUCAACAAUCUCACACCCGCGAGAUCAAGACUAUUUAAGCUUAUGGGUAGGAAAGGGUAGUGAGGUGGAGCUGCAGCAGGCACUAGCAUAUAUGGUGGCUAACUUACGCAAAUAAGAGUGAGAAGCUAAGCAAUGCAACGGUCGUGAACUAGAAGUGAUCAAGAAGUGAUCCUGAAACUACUUACGUUCAAGCAUAACUCAAGAACUGUGUUCACUUCCCGGACUCUGCCGGAAAGAGACCAUCACGGCUACACACGCGGUUGAUGCAUUUUAAUUAAGUUAACUGUUAAGUUUCUACAACCGGAUAUUAACAAAUUCCCAUCUGCCCAUAACCGCGGGCACGGCUUUCGAAAGUUCAAAACCCUGCAGGGGUGUCCCAACUUAGCCCAUCAUAAGCUCUCACGGUCAACGAAGGAUAUUCCUUCUCCCAGGAAGACCCGACCAGACUCGGAAUCCCGAUUACAAGACAUUUCGACAAUGGUAAAACAAGACCAGCAAAGCCGCCCGAUGUGCCGACAAAUCCCGAAAGGAGCUGCACAUAUCUCGUUCUCAGGGCACAUCGGAUGAACACUACGUACAACUAAAACCAACCCUAAAGUUUCCCCGAGGUGGCGCUGCAAGUGGCUCUAUUUUGGACCAACACUCAGAGGAGCACUGGACCGGGGGUUUAAGAUAAAGAUGACCCUUUGAGUCUGCAGAACCCAAGGGAAAAAGGCUUAGGUGGCAAAUGGUAAAACCAAGGUUGGGCCUUGCUGGAGGAGUUUUAUUCAAGGCAAACUGUCAAGGGGUUCCCAUUAUAACCCAACCGCGUAAGGAACACAAAAUCAAGGAACAUAACACUAGUAUGACGGAAACUAGGGCGGCAAGAGUGGAACAAAACAUCAGGCAUAAGGCAGAGCCUUCCACCCUUUACCAAGUAUAUAGAUGCAUUAAAGUAAACAAAAUAUAAUAAUGAUAUCCCAACAAUAAUCAUGUUCCAAUAAGGAACAAACUCCAUCUUCACCUGCAACUAGCAACGCUAUAAGAGGGGCUGAGCAAAGCGGUAACAUAGCCAAACAACAGUUUGCUAGGAAAGGUGGUUAGAGGUUUGACAUGGCAAUAUGGGAGGCAUGAUAUAGCAAGUGGUAGGUAUCGCGGCAUAGCAAUAGAGCGAGCAACUAGCAAGCAAAGAUAGAAGUGAUUUCGAGGGUAUGGUCAUCUUGCCUGAAAUCCCACAAGGAAGAAGAACGAGCCCAUGAAGGAGACAAACGGACGAAGUCGAACCAAUCCUCACAACUCCGGAACGAAACCGAAGCUAACGAGAGAAGCAACCCGGAAAGAAACACGCAACAUAGUAAACAACCACCACAUAAACAUGGCAUGAUGCACAACCAAGUAUGAUGCAUGUCCGGUUUAAUUAGGCAUGGCAUGGAAAAAUGCAAAAACAAUCCUACAAAUUAAGUGGAGCUCAAUAUGCAACGAGUUGCAUAUUGACGAAACACCACAUGACUUAUUUAGUUCGAUCUCAUUUAUGUACUCAACAAUAUUAAAUGUUGUUUAGCAUGGCAAGGGGUGAAGCAAAGUAAAACUACCUAUCUAGGCAAGUUUAAAUGAGGCCGGAACAACAAGCAACAAGUCCGAAAAAUCCUCAUAUGCAUUUAGCAAAUUAAUGCAAACAAAAAUUUAAACACUCUUGAUGUUGUUAUCAUCACGCGGAUGACAUUUGCAAGUUUUAUGCAAUUUUUAUUAAAAGUUGACAUGAGCAUAUAAAGCAUUUGUCAUCGUGGCGGAAAACGAAAGGGGUGCCACGGUAACGACAACGGAAAUGGUGCCACGUUAACAUUCCGGUUCCGGUAACUCGAUUGAGAUGCCGGUGCAAAAGGAAGUGUGACAGGAGCGUGACAUGCAAGAUGGUGGGGUGGUCCCAGUUGCCGGGUUCCCACGGGUGGACGGCAUGGCAACGAGGAGGACCAUGCAAGCGACAAUUUUAGACACGGUGCAAACGCGGGGUUCAUCUCAUACACCACAAGCAAUCGUUCUCGGACGGUCGUCUCGGGAUUAUACCUUCGAAGCGUGCAAACAGGACGGAUCUCGUUCGGUGCAAAGUAGAGGAAGUAGGCGUUCUCGGGAUGUUCGUAGCAGAAGUAGUCGUACACGGUGACAGUAGUUGUACAUGGGUCUUCAGCCACAGAAGUAGUCAUACAACGUUUUCGUAGAUGUUCGGGGUCACGACAUGGAACUUGACGUCCAUGGAGUCUUCACGAUUCGACGGUAGUGGUACACGUUUCGUAGCCGUUCGAGUCAUCGGUAGAGGGACUUGACGGAAUUUGGAUCCCUUCGGAGUUGUCGUGGUACUUGGGGUCUUCGGACUUGCCGGUCUCGGUUCGUGCAAUGGUAGUAGUACAUCUUGUAGUGGAACUUGGUGCAUCCAAGGUCUUCGGCGCAGUGGUACACAUUCUAUAGGCGAACAUGGGUGUCGUGGUACUUGGCGAAAUGAGGGGUGCUGAGGAAGUCCUGGAUUAGGGGGUGUCCGGAUGGCCAUACUAUACCUUCGGCCAGACUCCUGGACUAUGAAGAUACAAGAUUGAAGACUUCGUCCCGUGUCCGGAAGGGACUUUCCUUGGCGUGGAAGGCAAGCUUGGCGAUACGGAUAUGUAGAUCUCCUACCAUUGUAACCGACUCUGUGUAACCCUAGCCCUCUCCGGUGUCUAUAUAAACCGGAGAGUUUUAGUCCGUAGGACGAACAACAAUUAUACCAUAGGCUAGCUUCUAGGGUUUAGCCUCUCUGAUCUCGUGGUAGAUCUACUCUUGUACUACCCAUAUCAUCAAUAUUAAUCAAGCAGUACGUAGGGUUUUACCUCCAUCAAGAGGGCCCGAACCUGGGUAAAACUUCAUGUCCCCUGCCUCCUGUUACCAUCUGACCUAGACGCAUAGUUUGGGACCCCCUACCCGAGAUCCGCCAGUUUUGACACCGACAUUGGUGCUUUCAUUGAGAGUUCCUCUGUGUCGUCGCUUUUAGGCCCGAUGGCUUCUCCGAUCAUCAAUAGCGAUGCGAUCCGGGGUGAGACUUUUCUCCCCGGACAGAUCUUCGUAUUCGGCGGCUUUGCACUGCGGGCCAAUUCGCUUGGUCAUCUGGAGCAGAUCGAAAGCUACACCCCUGGACAUCAGGUCAGAUUUGGAAGUUUGAACUACACGGCCGACAUCCACGGAGACUUGAUCUUCGACGGAUUCGAGCCAUAUCCGAGCGCGCCGCACUAUCACGAUGGGCAUGAUUUAGCUCUGCCGCCGAACAGUGCCCUGGAGGCCGCACCUGUGUCCGCUCUGACCCCUAGCUCGGAGCCGAUCACACCAACCGAGGAUGGGUCGUUAGACACCGCCUCAGGGGCUGCAAUCUCUAUGGCGAUCGAGCCGAACACCAGCCCUAUUCUCUGCGAAGCUCAUGACUCCAAGGAGCCGGACUCCUCUCCGGACUCCGAGCCCUUUGCGCCCCGACCGAUCGAACCCGAUUGGGCGCCGAUCAUGGAGUUCACCGCCGCGGACAUCUUUCAACACUCGCCCUUCGGCGAUAUUCUGAAUUCACUAAAGUAUCUCUCUUUGUCAGGAGAGCCCUGCCCGGACUAUAGUCGGCAAGGUUGGGAUGCGGAUGAUGAAGAAAUUCAAAGCCCACCCACCACCCACUUCGUAGCCACUGUCGAUGAUUUAACCGACAUGCUCGACUUCGACUCCGAAGACAUCGACGGUAUGGACGCCGAUGCAGGAGACGAUCAAGAUCCAGCGCCUAUAGGGCACUGGAAAGCCACCUCGUCGUAUGAUAUAUACAUGGUGGACACCCCAAAAGAAGGCAAUGGCGAUGGAACAGCGGAGGAUGACCCCUCCAAGAAGCAGCCUAAGCGCCGGCGUCAGCGGCGCCGCUCUAAAUCCCGCAAAAAAAACGGUGAUUCCGGCACGGGGGAUAAUAACACACCGAACAGUGCCGAAGACAACCACCUCCAGCAAGAUUCAGCACAGGAGGAUAGAGAAGCUAGCCCUCAUGAGAGAGCGGCAGACAGGGAGGUUGAGGACGAUAAUUAUAUGCCUCCCUCCGAAGACGAGGCAAGCCUCGAGGACGACGAAUUUGUCGUGCCGGAGGAUCCCGUCGAACAAGAGCGUUUUAAACGCAGGCUUAUGGCCACGGCGAACGGCCUCAAGGAAAAACAACAACAGCUUAGAGCUGAUCAGGAUUUGCUAGCUGACAGAUGGACGGAAGUCCUUGCAGCCGAAGAGUAUGAACUCGAACGCCCCUCCAAGAGCUACCCAAAGCGCAGGUUGCUACCCCAAUCAGAGGAGGAAGCACUUAAGCCUACAUCACCAGCGCAUGAUGCGGCCGACCGGCCACCCCGUGGCCGCGACAGAGAGGCCUCUCGGCCCUCCACUCAAGUCGCACCCCGGCGCCACUCAAAAACUACCAAGGCAUGGGAAAAUGCGCCAGACCUGCGAGACAUAUUGGAGGACAAGGCAAGGCAAACAAGAUCGAUCUACGGAUCACGUGGGCGCCCCACGAGACGGUACUCGUCACGCCGGAUAUAGUAAAUCCGGCCGGGCCGAACACAGUAGACAAAGCUCGUUUGAGCCGCGUCGUGAUAUAGCCCAGUAUAGAGGCGCCGCACACCACUAUGCUUCACAGAUGAAGUAAUGGAUCAUCAAAUCCCCGAGGGUUUCAAACCUGUGAACAUCGAAUCAUAUGAUGGCAUGACAGAUCCUGCGGUAUGGAUCGAGGACUAUCUCCUCCAUAUCCACAUGGCUCGCGGUGAUGACUUACACGCCAUCAAAUACCUCCCACUCAAGCUUAAAGGACCAGCUCGGCAUUGGCUUAACAGCUUGCCAGCAAAAUCAAUUGGUUGUUGGGAGGACCUGAAAGCCGCAUUUCUCGACAAUUUCCAGGGCACUUAUGUGCGACCACCAGACGCCGAUGACCUAAGCCACAUAAUUCAGCAGCCAGAGGAAUCGGCCAGACAAUUCUGGACAUGGUUCCUAACCAAGAAAAAUCAAAUCGUCGACUGUCCGGACGCAGAGGCCCUAGCAGCCUUCAAGCAUAACAUCCGCGACGAGUGGCUUGCACGGCACCUAGGACAGGAAAAGCCGAAAUCUAUGGCAGCCCUCACGACACUUAUGACCCGCUUUUGCGCGGGAGAAGACAGCUGGCUAGCUCGCAGCAAUAACAUGACCAAGAGCCCUGGUAAUUUGGAUACCAAGGACAGCAGUGGCAGGUCGCGUCGCAACAAGCAAAAGCGCCGCAUUAACGGCGACAAUGCUGAGGAUACGACAAUUAAUGCCGGAUUCAGAGGCUCUAAACCCGGUCAGCGGAAAAAGCCAUUCAAAAGAAAUACUCCGGGCCCGUCCAGUUUGGACCGAAUACUCGACCGCUCAUGCCAGAUACAUGGCACCCCCGAAAAACCAGCCAAUCACACCAACAGGGAUUGUUGGGUGUUCAAGCAGGCAGGCAAGUUAAAUGCCGAAAGCAGAGACAAGGGGCUGCAUAGCGAUGAUGAGGAGGAGCCCCGGCCGCCGAACAACAGUGGACAGAAAGGUUUUCCCCCACAAGUGCGGAUGGUGAACAUGAUAUACGCAACCCACGUCCCCAAGAGGGAGCGGAAGCGUGUGCUAAGGGACGUAUAUGCGAUGGAGCUAGUCGCCCCAAAGUUCAACCCAUGGUCUUCCUGCCCGAUCAUUUUUGAUCGAAGAGAUCACCCCACUAGCAUCCGUCAUGGAGGAUUCGCCGCAUUGGUUCUAGACCCAAUUAUUGACGGAUGUCACCUCACUAGAGUCCUUAUGGACGGCGGCAGUAGCCUGGACCUGCUUUAUCAGGAUACAGUGCAGAAAAUGGGCAUCGAUCCCUCGAGGAUUAAACCCACCAGAACGACCUUUAAAGGCGCCAUACCAGGUGUAGAAGCCAACUGUACAGGCUCAGUUACACUUGAAGUGGUCUUCGGAUCUCCGGAUAAUUUCCGAAGCGAGUUAAUCUUCGACAUAGUCCCGUUCCGUAGUGGCUAUCACGCACUGCUCGGGCGAACCGCAUUUGCCAAGUUCAAUGCGGUGCCGCACUACGCAUACCUCAAGCUCAAGAUGUCAGGCCCUCGAGGCGUCAUCACGGUCAAUGGUAACACCGAACGCUCUCUCCGAACGGAGGAGCAUACGGCGGCUAUCACAACGGAAGUACAAAGCAGCCUCUCAAGGCAAUUCUCCUGUCCGGCCAUUAAACGUCCGGACACCGUCAAGUGCGCCCGGAGUAACCUAUAACAAGACUUCCUGGCACGUUCUGAGCAAGCGUAGCAAUGCGGCCCCAACCCCAGCCCUCGAGACCUUGCGAAACCAGUGUCGCGCGUACAUAACUACGCUCUGGAAAUACCAUGAGCACAGGGGGAGGGGCACCAUCACGGCAAGCCCAAAACGCGGCUUAAACCGUACUAGGGGCUGCCGAUUUCUUAAAUUUUCUCUUAUUUUCAGGACUACAUUCUUCGGAAGGCUUGUUCGGCAGUACAAUUGCCGCACAAAUGAUACAACCAGGGAAGCAGAAAGCUACGCCGCACUACGGAACUCUAAGGUGGUCUCUAUAACGAGCAGUAUACCUGUUUCGCAAAACAUUCCAUAGCUCGCCCCUGGAAAGGACAUAUUUGAUAGUCCCAUCUUUUGCUUAUCGCACUAUUUGUAUCGUUCUGCUUUGAUCGCAGCUUUUUUUAAAUAAACAAUGCAUAGCUUCCGUCUAUUAUUGCAUUACCUUUUUUACGAAUAUAUGUUCAUUAAUGACAUGUUGCACCCGUACACUUUGGUACGGCCAAUACGCCAGGGGCUUAAGUACCCCACAACAUGGUGUGAGAAGUCCGAACACUUUCACAAGUGCGGCACCCCGAACUUAUAGCAUUAUAUGCAUCGGCUCCGAAUCAUGUCUUGGGUCAAUAGUUGGGUUUGCCCGGCUCCUAUGUUUUGGUAACUUACGUUCCGUCAUAUCGGCUAAGGUAGCACUAGGAGAACUACUGCGAUUGUGCCCCAAUUGAGCUGGGCUAAGCACCUCAGUAGAGAAAGCUAAAACUGACCGUCAUGAUGAGGCGAGAGUUGGUCGCUGUUUGAGAGGUUUUCGAGUCCCUAAAGACUUAUGCCGCUUAGAGCGAGGAGUCGGCUUUGUCCGGCCUAGGCGUGGAUAGCGCCCUGAACUCGGUCUUCCGAACACUAGGGGCUUCGCCGAAAUUUAAAAUUAUAGAAUUCUAUGGCUAAGUGAGAGUGAUCAAGCAUUAUAGUCCAAUUGCCUUGUUCGUUGUGUUGAGCGCCUCCCUCGAAGGACCCAAGAAUGGGAAAAAGAGCGCUCAUGUUUAUCCCGAACACCCCAGCACUCAUGGCAUGGGGGCAGAAGCCGACGACUCGCCAUCUCUCAAAUUUGAUAUACGGCCGCACAGAAGGUAAUAUUUCAAAUUCAAAAGCGUUGCUUAGCGCAUAUGAACAAGUUUUCAGCGUAUAGGAUCACAAAUGCGAGUUUACUAAAAAAUUACAUCUUUGGAGCAUUCAUCCGCUAUAAGGCGGGCACCCUUCAGGACGCCCUCAUAAUACGCUUCCGGGACAUGAUGCUCCUUGCCCGGCGGCGGCCCGUCCUUCACCAGCUUCUCCGCAUCCAUUUUGCCCCAGUGCACUUUAACACGGGCAAGCGCCCUACGGGCACCUUCGAUGUAGACGGAGCGCUUGAUUACUUCAAGCCGUGGACAGGCAUCCACCAGCCACCUCACCAGCCCGAAGUAGCUCCCAGGCAGAGCCUCUCCAGGCCACAGCCGAACUAGGAGGCCCUUUACGGCCUGUUCGGCAACCUUGUGGAGCUCGACCAUCUGCUUCAGCUGGUCGCUCAAAGGCACCAGGUGUCCGGCCUUAGCAUACUGAGACUAGAACACCUUCUCCGUCGAGCUCCCCUCCUCGGCUCAGUAGUAGGCGGCGGCAUCAGACGCACUGCGGGGCAAAUCUGCGAAUGCUCCUGGAGAGCUCCGGACUCGGGUAAGUAACAAAUAAUUCACUUUCACGUGCUUGCUUUGCAUAAUGAAUGCCUUACCCGCCGCUAUCUUCUUCAUCGCAUCAAUUUCUUUGAGGGCUUUCUGGGCUUCGGCCUUGGCAGACUUCAUGCUUUUGAGGGCUGCCGCAAGCUCAGACGCUUGUGUCUUUGAGUCAAGCUCCAAACUCUCGUAUUUUUUCACGAGAGCCUGGAGCUCUUUCUGCACCUCCUCCACCCGUGCCUCCUGCUUCUCUCUCUCCGUGCGCUCCGCGGCUGCCCUGUUUUCGGCCUCGGACAGCGCUUGCUUAAGGAUUGCCACCUCGGUCGUGGCCCCUAUUGUAGCACGUUGAUCCUGUCAUUUUUUGCAACCACAUCUUCUUUAUAUAAUUGCGCAAGGUAUUACUUACCUUCCUUCUCCUCGAGUUGCCUCUUGGCAUGGCCGAGCUCGUUCUCGGACCGCGCGAGGUUCUGCUUCAGCGUAUCCACCUCCGCAGUCAGUGCGGCGGAGGCCAGCGGCGAAGCCUGCACACGCAUAUUGACUUGAUUAUGUUAGACUCCUGCGAUUAUUAGAUCCUCUAUUCGGCUUUUCUUUCCGAACGCCGAACAGAGCAUCAGGGGCUACUGUCUAUGCGGUAAUAUUUUUACAUAUUCUUUACCUACCUCAAAGCCUGUUAGAAGGCUGGCACAGGCUUCAGUCAGUCCGCUCCUGACGGACUGAACCUUCUGGAUCACCACACUCAUAAUAGUACGGUGCUCCUCGUCGAUGGAGGCGCCGUUAAGCGUCUUCAACAAAUUGUCCGGUGCCUCCGGUUGGAUGGAGGUCACCGGCUCGGUAGGCUCGCCCCUCUUGAAAGGAGGCCGCCUACUGGAGUCCGGAACCAUUGAAGGUUCCGGCGCGGUGUCCGGCUCAAGGCCGGACUCGGAGCCCUUGGGGGUUUUAUCCCCUUCGCGCCUGGAGUCCGGGAGGUCGCCUUGUGGCGCCUCCAGGACCACCUCCUCCUGGCUUGGAACCUGUUGGGACAGCACCUCGGCGCCGUCCGUAGGGUGGGGGGAGGUAGCCGUCGGAAGCGAAUUCACAUCCGAUGAAUCCAGGGAACCGCUCGAUGACACGUCGAGCCGAUCUUUGGGUGGACUGCAUAAACAUGUUCGACAUAAGGAAAAGUUGUGCAAUGGAAGAAUACUAUGAAUCACUCUGGUAUCCGGACACUUACGAUCUCGCCAGGGGCUUGGCCUUGUGCGGCCACUCCUCUUCGCCGUCGUCAGCGUUGGUGGAGCCGUCCGGAGGAAGGGUUUUCCCCUUCUUGGAACCUUUGGCCUCCCCAGUUGGGGCGGCCUUCCUUUUCUUCUCUCCUCCCACUGGAGGGGGAGAGGUCUCUUCUUCCUUCUCCUCGUCUUCACGGGAGGAGUGCGUCUUGGAGUCGUCGGAUGAUGAAUCCGACACCCCCAGGCGCCGGGCACUCUUCCGAGUCCCCGUGGCCUUCUUCUUGGCCUUCUUCUCCGGCACCACAUAGGGUGCCGGAACUAGCAGCUUCGCCAAGCGAGCGUCCGCUGGGCCUUCGGGCAAAGGAGCUGGAUAGUUGAUCUGUCCGGACGUCUCCUGCCAAUCAUGUCAAAGGUAAGGGAGCUUAAGAUCCCGCAUGGAGUCAAACUAUGAAAAACUAAUACCCUGUAAAAGGUGAAAACAGCUUACCGCACGAGCGCGACGCUGCAUGCUGAAUCCCCGAUCCUCGGUAGCGGAUGCGGGGGCCUCGGCGCCCUUGAAAAGCACCUUCCAGGCAUCUUCGUACGUUGUGUUGAAGAGCCUGCUUAGAGUUCGGUGCUGCGCCGGGUCGAACUCCCAUAGGUUGAAAGCCCAUUGUUGACACUGGAGGAUCCGGCGGAUAAGCAUAACCCGGACUAUGUUGACAAGUUUGAGCUUCUUGUCCACCAGGGUUUGGACGCAUGUUUGGAGUCCGGUCAGCUCUCCUUCUUUACCCCACGACAGGCCCGUCUCUUUCCAGGAGGUGAGCCGCGUAGGGGGUCCGGAUCAGAACUCGGGGGCUGCGACCCAUUCAGGGUCGCGCGGCUCGGUGAUGUAAAACCACUCCGAUUGCCAGCCCUUUAGGGACUCCACGAAGGAGCCCUCGGGCCAUAGGACGUUGGGCAUCUUGCCCACCAUGGCACCUCCGCACUCCGCCUGAGUGCCGCGCACCACCUUCGGCUUGACAUUGAAAGUCUUGAGCCAUAGGCCGAAAUGGGGGCAGAUGCAGAAGAAAGCCUCGCACACGACGAUAAACGCCGAGAUAUUGAGGACAAAAUUCGGGGCCAGAUCGUGGAAAUCCAGGCCAUAGUAGAACAUGAGCCCCCGGACAAAUGGGUGGAGAGGGAAGCCCAGUCCGCGGAGAAAAUGGGGGAGGAACACCACCCUCUCAUGGGGCCUAGGGGUGGGGAUGAGCUGCCCCUCUUCGGGAAGCUGGUGCCCAAUGUCGUUAGACAAGUAUCUGGCCUUCCUCAGUCUUUUGAUGUGUCCCUCCGUGAUGGAGGAGACCAUCCACUUGCCUCCCGCUCCGGACAUGGCUGGAGAAGGUUGAGAUUGGGUGUGCGGACUUGGGCGCUGGAGCUCGAGUGCGAGGAAAUGGAUAGGCGAAGGAGGAAGAAGGCGUGGAUGAAAAGGUGGAUCCUUAUCCCCUUAUAUGGGCGGACGCGACUAUGCGCCCCCACCAGCCUGGUAAAACUCGCUUAUCUCCCAAGCGCCGCAGUCAAUGGCGCGGUUGGGUUAUCCACACCCGUAUUGAUGAGAAUCCCGGAAUAAGGGGACACGAUCUCUGAUUUAACAAGACGUGCCAAGGAAACCGCCUCGCUAAACGCGCUGAGGUGGGACAGUAAAACGAUUCAAAUAAAGACUUGGCCGUGGUGUGAUGUCACGCUAUGGAAUAUGUGAGUAGAUUAGAUUUGUGUAAGUAUUAUUCUCUCUAUGGCAAUAUGUGAAAACUUAUUUUGCAUAGCCGGACACUACCUUUGUGUUCAAAAUCUUCUAUAAAGUACUUGGAGGAGGAACCCGCCUUGCAAUGACGAAGACAAUCUGUGCACUGGACUCAUCGUCAUUGAAGCCUGGUUCAGGGGCUACUGAGGGAGUCCUGGAUUAGGAGUGUCCGGAUGGCCAGACUAUACAUUCGGCCGGACUCCUGGACUAUGAAGAUACAAGAUUGAAGACUUCGUCCCGUGUCCGAAAGGGACUUUCCUUGGCGUGGAAGGCAAACUUGGCGAUACGGAUAUGUAGAUCUCCUACCAUUGUAACCGACUCUGUGUAACCCUAGCCCUCUCCGGUGUCUAUAUAAACCAGAGAGUUUUAGUUCGUAGGACGAACAACAAUCAUACCAUAGGCUAGCUUCUAGGGUUCAGCCUCUCUGAUCUCGUGGUAGAUCUACUCUUGUACUACCCAUAUCAUCAAUAUUAAUUAAGCAGGACGUAGGGUUUUACCUCCAUAAAGAGGGCCCGAACCUGGGUAAAACUUCGUGUCCCCUGCCUCCUGUUACCAUCCGACCUAAACACACAGUUCGGGACCCCCUACUCGAGAUCCUCCGGUUUUGACACCGACAUGUGCACCGGGCUUGGCGUGCAGAAGACACUUGGAACAUAGAAGCCAUCAGGCUGCUGUCCGUUGGGAAACGAGAUGAACCAGGGGAGGUCAAAGCAGCAGCGGGGCAAGCACUGGUCCAGCGGGACGCGGGGGUCGCCGGAAACCCAGUGGAGCAACGGCAACAGAGAACGGAGCGCAUGCACCAUGGAUGGAACUUGCAGCUUAGGCAGGGAGGUGGAAGUGCAGACGCUGCCGACGGCAGCGGAUGUGCAAGGGACGGAGCAAGGCGCCCGAUGGAGGAAAACUGGCGGCGCCGAGCAGAGGCUUGGGCGGAGCUCCUCGGGCUGGACGCUGGCAAGGAGGAAGGACCGCGGAGCGGAGUCGCGAGGAACGCAGGGGCCGCGGGGCGGCACGAGGCCGGAGGAGAGCGAGCUUGGGGCGGCCGGCGUGGACGUGGGGUCGCGAUGGCGGGGGCAGGCCGUCCUGGUGCUGCGGGGCUGUCGGCCAUGGGAGCUUGAGGCGCCGGAGGAAGGAGGAGGCGCGGGGACGGUAGGGGCGCUGGUCGCCGGCAGGGGCGGCCUCGGGAAGGAGAAGGAGGGACUUGGCGCGGCGGAGGAGGAAGGAGGCAGAGGGGGUCGGGGAUGAGGAGCAGCGCUGCUCUCUCCCUGGUGCCUGGUGCGAUGCGUGAGGCAGCUGGAGGAGGAAACGAGGGAGAGAAAGGGAUCGAGCAGGGGAAUCGGUCGGGCUAGGUUAAGCAGGGCGCCGGCUGGGCCUGGGCCUUUUGGUGGAGAUGGAAAAGGCCAUAGGCCUGGUCGGCUGGGCUGCAGGCUCUCUUCUCUCUCACACUCUCUUCUCUUAACCAUUAAGAGAAAAAAAUAGAUAGAAGAAGAAAAAUAUAAAGAGAGGGUUAGGGAUGGAAUUUGGGCAUGGGGGUAAUUUCCCCGGACUCACAAAAAUGCGUUGGUUCCAAGAAAAUAGAAAUGGCCAAGAUCGAACGAAAAGAAUUCAAACUCAUUUGAAUUUAAUUCAAAUAGGUUUGAACUAGGGCGGGGUUUUAGGAGUAUCCAAAAAUGGGUUUUUGGAGGAACCUCGGAAUAUGAUGAAAGAAUAAAUAGCAAAGUUAGAGGCCAAGAGUUGUGAUAACAAAGGCAUUGAGAAUUAUUUUGCAAGUGUGUUCCGGUUAAUUCCAACAAAUGAAAUAUUUAAUAUAGCUCCCUAAUAUCGGGAGGAUAUGUUAUAAAGAGAACCACUAUGUGAAUUUCCUUGGUUUAAAUGGAUCUAAGAUCCAUGCCAUUUAUUUAGUUGAGUUAAAAAAAAGAAAUGACAUGAUGCAAUGACAAAUGCAACGAACCAAACAGAUCACAUGACGAAACCCGAAAACCAUGGAAGGCAACUGAAGCUCCGGUCUUGGGGCGUCACACAUGUAUCCUACAAAACACAUGGCAACUGACAUAUUCGGAUAAAAGAGAGAGUUGCCAUUUGCUUACAAGCACAGUAGGGCAGUUGUCAUGUACCCUGCAAAACACAUGGCAACUGACAGUUUUGAGUGUGGGAGAGGAGACGGGCGUGUAGGCGAACUGAUAAAUGCCCACACACCAGCCCCUGUGUGGGCGAACUGUUAAACGCUCACACAUCGGUCCCUCCGUGUGUGAAAACGGACGUGUGAACGACCGAAUAAAUGCCCACACAGCAGCCCAGUCCUACAUGGCACCAUAAAUAUGCCAACAUUUGUGCAACCACAAAUGGAUGUGGAUUCACGCGUGUGGGCGAGAUGCAAACGCCCACACCUGUGGGCGUUAGUGUUUCAAUAAUCCAAUCAGCACCUGACAAGUCACAAACGCUCUGCAAAACCCCCUAUUAAUCCGUAAACAUAGCAUUGUUGCCUAAAAAACAGUUGCCCGCGUCUUUAGUUUAUUCUGCUUCUUUUACUCAGAUCCGUGUGUCUCUUUCACCGGCCUGCUCACCAUCUCACGAUCAUCUUUCUUUUCCGAAAGCCUACACAAUCUGCAGGCAUCACUCAUCCCACCUAGUCUCUGUCAGAGUGCUGGUUCGUUUUUGCUGUAAAGACUCCCCUUGAGACCACGCUACUUCUUUAUUCGCUUCGAUUCGACGGCCGGUCUGGAUCUAUACAUUCCACCACCUGCAGUGCCAGUGUGCAGCACACAGUGGUAAGCAUAUCUAGGCUCGCUCCUGUUGCAUGGCGCUGCAAUUCAUGACACUAGGUGCUUAAGUUCGCAAGUGACUCAGAUGGCCUCUCGCCGGAGGGUUGAGGAGAGCGUGUGGGUGGCGGACGUGGACGCGGCGCUGAGCGGCCAUGACCCGUCGACGGAGUCGUCUCAGUGGCAGUGGCACUGCAUCUACCGCGUGCCAGCGUGCAUCAAGCACCUGAAUCUCAAGGCCUACCAGCCGCAGGUGGUGUCCCUGGGCCCUUUCCACCACGGCGAGCCGCACCUGCUGCCCAUGGACGUGCACAAGCGCCGGUCGCUCCUCCACUUGCUCCGGCGCGCGCGCAAGCCACUGUCGGAGUUCGUGGUGGCCGUGGCCGGCGUGGCGGAGCAGCUGGAGGGCGCGUACCAGGGCCUCGCCGACGACUGGCGCGGCGCCCUCGGCUGCGAGGAGGAGAGGAGGGAGAGGUUCCUCGAGAUGAUGGUCACCGACGGGUGCUUCCUGCUGGAGGUGAUGAGGACGGCGUCCGGUUUCGAGGUGAACGACUACGCGCCCAACGACCCCGUCUUCAGCAACCACGGCCUGCUCUACACCGUGCCCUACAUCCGCCGCGACAUGAUCAUGAUCGAGAACCAGCUGCCGCUCCUCGUCCUCCACAAGCUCCUCGCCGUCGAGACCGGCAAAGAUGAGGUAGUAACUAAUUAAGCCAUGAGACAACGCAUGCAUUCUUUAUAGUAUCAUGAAACUUAACAUAAAUUUCGCCAGCGAAUUAACAAAAUUAUUAUGCAGUAGAAAAGACUAUAGCUGAACAGAAGAUCCAAAACAGCAAAGUGUAGCCGAAUGGUUCUUUAUUCCAUUGCUCCAUUGCAAGCAAUGUAGUUGAUGCUACCUUUUAGCUUCUUACCAUGCAUGUAGUACAAAAAAAGUAAAGAAAAAGCAUUUUUGCUAGUGGUAUGUGCUGAUAGAUCUCACACUGAAGUCGGCCUUUGCCAUGAUUGUACCUACUAAUGGUACGGACGGACGUUGUUGGCAGCAGAACGAGGAGUUGAUCAACCGGAUGGUGCAGAGGUUUCUAACCCCGGCUGCUUGGCCUCCGGCGACCGGCGUCGGACUGGCGCUCCACCCGCUGGACAUCCUCCGCCGGAGCCUGCUCUACGGCCCCACGCAGACGGCUCCCCCCGCGCCUCCGGAUUACGCGGUCCCGGACGACAUCAUCCGGUCCGCCGAGGAGCUCUACGAGGCGGGCGUUCGGUUCAAGCGGAGCCGGACGAGCAGCCUCCUGGACAUCAGCUUCCACCGCGGCGUGCUCCGCCUGCCGGCCAUCGUGGUGGACGACACCACGGAGUACAUGCUCCUGAACCUGAUGGCGUUCGAGCGGCUGCACGCCGGCGCCGGUAACGAGGUGACCGCCUACGUCUUCUUCAUGGACAACAUGAUCGACACGGCGGCGGACGUGGCGCUGCUGACCUGCAGGAGGAUCGUCCACAACACGGUGGGCAGCGACAAGGCGGUGGCGAAGCUCUUCAGCGGGAUGUCGAGGGACGUGGUGCUGGAGCCGCAGAGCGCGCUGGACGACGUGCACCGCCAGGUGAACGCCUACUGCCGGAAGAGGUGGAACCGCUGGCGCGCCAACCUGGUGCACACCUACUUCAAGAGCCCCUGGUCGUUCCUCUCCCUCGCCGCCGCUGUCUUCCUCCUCGGCAUGACCAUCAUGCAGACCGUCUACACCGUGCUACAGUUCUACCAGGAUGCCACCACCAGCUAGCUUAUAUCUAAGCUAUAAGUUCCACUUCUACCUUGUUCGAUUUACUCCUGAUAUUUGAGUGAAGCGUGUUUGAUCACGGUGUGGCUUUUAUCGAUAAUGUUUUAGUUGCAUCAGUUCAUGACUGUGAUGACAUUACUCAUAUGAUGUUGUCGUAGAAAAAUGAGAAUAAUAUUUUGAUCCGUGUUCAACUUACCGGGUAGCUCUUAUCCUCAUCCCUGGGGCAUUAUAAAAUACUACUCCCUCUUAUUCAUAUUAAUUAUCGCUGAUUUACUACAACUUUGUGGAGUACAAAAAAUAGGACGACCUCAUAACAUGAACAAGGCAACCAACCAUAUAUAAAUUUCUAUUCUAGGAUGUGGCUAGCGCUCACUCGCUCAGUCGACUCAUAUUUAACAAAAAUAACAGUCCAUCAACACUACUGAACCAGGCCGGUUUGAUUUUUCCAUCGCAAAGGUUGCGCUUGUUGUUCUUUUCUUUACUAGUCUUGUCACCGACGAAGGUUUGUGGGCCGGAAGGUUUAUGUAGGAAUUGGAGUCUGGGGUUACAGGUUCUACUUCGGUCAGAGCCGUCCUUCGGACGCGAGUUGUCGUGUCUUGUACUCCAGGUCUUCCAGCCCACCACAUUGUGAGGCCAUGGGCCGAGUUGAUUGGCCCAUGACAUAGCCGACCUAGGGGGCCCAGGUUAGCUCCUGGUAAGGUGGGCACCUAUGAAGCGUAACACCUUCAAUAGCCCCUGAACUGGUCUUUGGAUCCGGCUGCUUCCUGGUCGAUGUUGAUCUGCUGGCGCUAGCCUGUGCAAGCUUGUCGAAGCCGAAGCCAGUUUAUGAAGCUCCCAUGUUCUUGAAUUGUAGAUGUAGAUAGCCAAUCUUUACGACAAGUCAUCCCAGGAAGCCUGCUAGUGCAAGUUGAUUCCUGCACAACACUUGUGAAAAUUCUCAAAUACAGAGCUUUGGUCAUGAGGCGACAAGACCAGGCUCUAACACAACCAAUCGAGUCAAACCAUCUUAGUCAUGCAGACUGUCAGUUAAAGCGUCGUGAGCGAAGGGUCAUGGACCCCACUCAUGGAUCAUUUAAAGAUGAUGCACUAGAUGCUCACGAAACGAUCCCAUCAAGUAUGAUCUUUGCAACACCGGGAGGGGGAUCCAAUGUGCCGAGCCAACAAUGUUUCAGUAGACUUGCAGUCAAGGUGCUGGAUGGUGCUUGGAACCAACAAGGUUGGCCAUGUAGCCUUCGAUAAAAUGAUGUGUGAGACUUCAAAAAAAAAUCACGGAGUGGCUUCCUUCUCACGUGCUAGAUGGCCCAUAGAGUAACUAAGAUAGUCACAAAAUCUAUAUGCAGUAUAUAAUCCUUCAAAGACAGCAUCCACCUUUUAGCAUCUGGCUCAUUGGUUUGGUGCAUCAGUUCAACCAAAUCUGAAUCAUCAAGUGCUCAAACACAACGUGACAUGUUACACUCAGGUAAAGAAUAACUCCAUGAAUCCUUCGAACCGCGAAUGCCACAAUUACUGGCCGGAAACAUGUGCCUAUGAUGAACGAGAUUGGUCAUAGGCAUGGAGUAUUGGGCAAGUUGCUGAUGGGGUCAUGUACAUAGGGUAGGGUCACAGACCUGAUCUAAGUACCCUGCCCAAGGACACCCUUAGAAGAGGUCACCUUCCAGUCGACCAACGAGGGACUCACUCGACUGACUUGAAGACUCGACCACGAAGACUCACUCGACUACCAGGAGGUCAAAAGGCACUCUGCACUGCAACGGCCUGUAGUUAAGUAGACUUUAUGAUAGUUAAGACACUUUAUGUGGGACGUUACCAGUAACGCCCCGGACUAAAUACACCUUAAACCCUUCAUUACGUGGGCUGGCUGGGGUCCUGGCGCACUCUAUAUAAGCCACCCCCCUCCACAGGCAGAAGGGUUCGGCAUCCUGUAAUUGAUAUACACAUAAUCCACUCGACCGCCUCCGGGCUCCGAGACGUAGGGCUUUUACUUCCUCCGAGAAGGGCCUGAACUCGUACAUCUCUUGUGUUUACAACCUCUCCAUAGCUAGGACCUUGCCUCUCCAUACCUACCCCCCACUCUACUGUCAGACUUAGAACCACGACAGUUGGCGCCCACCUUGUGGCCGGUGUUUUAGCGAUUUUGUGGAGAAGUUGCGGUUCUUCCGAGUACUUUCAUCAUGAUGACUGCUGGAGUUUUGGUUGAGGGUCGAGAGAUCCGUCUCGGUGCUCUCACCUUCGUCGCCGACGACUCCGCCUGGCUCCAGGAGGCUCCACUCGACGUCGAUGCGCUCCCCGUCCGUGGUGCGACGCAUUUUCGCGCAUGUGUCCGCGGCGUUCUGCUGCGGCAAUCGUCGACCCCGUAUCGGUCGACUCCCCCAUCGACCACCCUCCCGGUCUCCCGCCAGCGCAAGCGCUCGGGUCGGUCGAGGCUUCAGCGGUGGGUGAGGCACGCGGUGGCUCGCCAGACGGCCACCACCCAAGUUGCGGCAAUCGAGUCCGACGAAUCUCUCUACGGCCUGUUCGAUCUGUCGACUGGCUCCGUAGAGACUGCAUCCGAGUGCGAUAGCAGUGAUCCAGCGGCGGAAAUCCUGAUGGUCGACGGGCCCCGCAGUCCCCCUGGCUUCGCCCGUGAUGGUGGGGCAGGCGACGGAGGCGACCCCGCACGAGACCACGAAGAGUACCAGCCCGAGCCACUCGACUCUCUGCAAAGAGAGGAACUUCGCCGCAGGAACGUGGAUGUCCUGCGUACUCCCAUCGCAGGAGAAACCCCCGAGGCUCGCGCCUUGGAGGAGGCUCGUUAGCCAAUUUGGCCGAACGCACUCGACUGGAGAAUCUCCAGCGAGCACUCGACGAGCGCGCGCGGCAACGAGUUCCCGACACCAGUCGACGUCAACUCUUCCCGCCGACUCAGGUAUAUCGAACCCCAAUCCAGAAUUUAGCAGCUGCGACCCGUAUAGCAGAGUCAAUCCAGCCCUCUCAGUCGGAAGCUGGCAGAGGCUUGAUGCAGAUCAGGGAUCUGCUCCGGGCAGCAGGAGAUUAGAAUUCGGCCGUGUCGCAGUCGCGCAACAGAAUUCACAGUCGAUCCGUCGCUGCGAAUACGGUUCAGUCGGCUCACAGCCCCAGAUCGCCUCCGCGGCGUGAAGGGCGCGAGAAUCGAUGAGACCAAUAUGGUGACCGACUCGACCGAGAUGAUAGGCGUCGAGUGCCCAAUUCCCCUCCGAGGGGUGGGUCUUACGCUCCUCGGCAGCAAGAUGACAGACGCCAGCUCAGUGCGGGGCGAAGAGUUCCAGUCGACCCCAGAGAACCAGGCUUUGACGCGCGAUCCAUUAUCGUGCAAGGCUUAGUCGACCGGAACAGAGCCUAUCGAGGUGGACUCGACAGAGAUGCGCCCACAAGCAAUCGAGUGCAUGUUUCUGGUCCUGAAUGUUUCAGCAGAGCUAUCAGAGCCGCAGUUAUCCCUCCCAAUUUCAGGUUGGCAACAGGAGUCAGCAAGUUCACUGGUGAGUCUAAGCCUGAAACUUGGCUUGAGGACUACCGAGUGGCGGUUCAGAUUGGUGGUGGGAACGACGAGGUGGCCAUGAAGCAUUUGCCCCUCAUGCUGGAAGGUUCUGCCAGGGCAUGGUUGACUCAAUUACCUCCUAGCAGCAUUUACACUUGGGAAGAUCUGUCCCGAGUGUUCAUCAGAACGUUUGAAGGAACUUGCAAGCGACCGGCUGGAUUGACGGAGCUGCAAGUCUGCGUGCAGAAGAACAAUGAGACUCUCAGGGAGUAUAUUCAGAGAUGGAUCACUUUGCACCAUACUGUGGAGAAUGUGUCUGAUCAUCAGGCAGUCUGCGCCUUUAAGGAUGGUGUCAAGAAUAGAGAAUUGAGUUUGAAAUUUGGUCGAACCGGUGACAUGACCUUGAGUCGGAUGAUGGAGAUUGCUACCAAGUACGCCAACGGCAAAGAAGAAGACCGACUCCGAAGCGGCAAGCACAAGCAGAGUCAGUUGGAAAAGGGAAACACCAGUCGGAAACAGAAGCGGAAGGCUGAACCGGCAGCUCCUGGAGAGGCUCUGGCCGUGACUCAGGGAAAGUUUAAAGGGAAACCAAAAGGAUCCUGGAACCCUAAGAAGGUAAAGGAUAAGGAAGGGAACGACGUGAUGGAUAUGCCGUGUCACAUCCACACGAAGAAAGACGAAGAGGGGAAUAUCAUUUACCCGAAGCAUACCACUCGCCAAUGUCGACUCCUGAUCCAGCAGUUUCAGGGAAAACAGUCUAAGGACAAGGAGAAGGAGUCGGACAAGCCCGCAGACAAGGAGGACAGUGAGGAAGGAUAUCCACAUAUCAACUCCACUCUGACGAUCUUUGCAGAUGUGGAAAGCAAGAGUCGAUUGAAAGUCAUUAACCGAGAGGUGAACAUGGUCGCCCCAGCAAAAGCAAAUUAUCUGAGAUGGUCCCAAACACCCAUCACAUUCGACCAAUCUGAUCACCCAACUCAUAUUGCCACCCCUGGGAGGCAAGCUUUGGUGGUCGAUCCAGUUGUCGAAGGCACUCGACUGACAAAAGUGCUGAUGGACGGUGGUAGUGGGCUGAAUUUGUUGUAUGCAGACACGCUGAAAGGAAUGGGCAUUCCGAUGUCCCGACUGAGCACCAGUAACAUGAGCUUUCAUGGAGUUAUACCAGGGAAGAAAGCCGAGUCACUCAGACAAAUAGCUCUAGACGUGGUGUUUGGUGAUUCGAAACAUUUUCGCAAAGAGAAGUUGACGUUUGAGGUCGUGGAUUUUCAGAGUGCAUAUCAUGCCAUUUUGGGGAGACUAGCUUAUGCACGGUUCAUGGCUCGACCAUGUUACGUGUACCUCAAAUUGAAGAUGCCCGGCCCCAAAGGAGUGAUCACUGUCACCGGUGAUCGGAAAAAGGCAGAAGAGUGCUUUCAGAAGGGCUCAAAGAUUGCCGAUUCCCAGGUGACAGCGAUCGAGUUCGAAGAAUACAAGCAAAAGGCAGAUCCGAGUGAUUUGCUGCGAUCCAAGAAACCCGCCACAGAAUCUGCAUUUUAGUCGUCCGGUGAGACAAAGCCUGUUCACAUUCACCCGACCGACCCCGAUGCAGCUCCGACCCACAUCUCCACAACACUCGACCCGAAAUAGGAAGAAACGCUCAUCCAGUUCCUCCGUGAGAACUGGGACAUUUUUGCAUGGAAGCCCGCUGACAUGCCAGGUGUUCCCAGGGGACUGGCUGAGCAUCGCCUAAGAGUCGACUCAUCUGCAAAACUAGUCAAAGAGCAUCUUCGGCGGUACGCCGUCCAGAAGAGAAAAGCCAUUGGUGAGGAAGUGGCUCGACUGUUGGCCGCAGGGUUUAUCCGAGAGAUAUACCACUCCGAGUGGCUCGCUAAUGUUGUCAUGGUUCCUAAGAAGGACAAAUCGCUCCGAAUGUGCAUUGAUUUCAAGCACAUCAACCGGGCCUGCCCGAAAGAUCAUUUUCCUCUCCCUCGCAUAGAUCAAAUUGUUGACUCGACCGCGGGAUGCGAGAGACUGUCUUUUCUAGACGCCUACUCCGGGUACCACCAGAUCCGUCUGUACGGACCCGACGAGGUAAAAACAGCUUUCAUCACUCCAUUCGGGUGCUUCUGCUAUAUCACCAUGCCAUUCGGCCUCAAGAAUGCCGGAGCCACAUUUAUGCGAAUGAUUCAGAAGUGUCUUCUCACUCAAAUCAGUCGGAAUGUGGAAGCGUAUAUGGAUGAUAUCGUCGUCAAGUCACGAAAAGGUUCCGACCUACUCGCUGACCUCGCCGAAACAUUUGCCAACCUCAGAAGGUAUGAUAUCAAGCUCAAUCCAUCAAAGUGCACAUUUGGAGUUCCUGGUGGCAAGUUACUCGGUUUUCUCGUUUUCGAGCGAGGAAUCGACGCUAAUCCAGAGAAGAUCGGCACUAUUCUCCGAAUGAAACGCCCUGUGCGAGUGCACGAUGUCCAGAAGCUUACUGGAUGCUUGGCCGCAUUAAGUCGAUUCAUCUCACGACUCGGUGAAAAGGCAUUGCCUCUUUACCGACUGAUGAAGAAGGCAGACAAGUUCGAGUGGACUCCAGAAGCUGAUGCAGCGUUUGCCGAGCUAAAAGCUCUGCUCUCCACCCAGCCGGUGCUUGCUGCUCCAAUCAGCAAAGAGCCUCUGCUGCUCUAUAUCGCAGCCACAGGACAAGUCGUCAGUACUGUGCUUACGGUCGAGCGGGAAGAAGAAGGAAAAACUCUCAAAGUUCAGCGCCCAGUGUAUUAUUUGUCUGAAGUCUUGACUCCAUCCAAGCAGAGAUAUCCUCAUUAUCAAAAGCUUGUGUAUGGAAUAUACAUGACCACAAAGAAGGUUGCUCAUUAUUUCUCUGAUCAUUCCAUCACAGUCGUCAGCGACGCUCCACUAUCAGAGAUUUUGCACAACAGAGAUGCAACUGGUCGAGUGGCUAAAUGGGCGAUUGAACUUCUUCCCCUUGAUAUCAAGUUUGAGGCAAAGACAACCAAUAAGUCCCAGGCAAUAGCAGAUUUCCUUGCCGAGUGGAUUGAACAGCAGCAGCCGACUGAAGUUCACUCGAAGCAUUGGACCAUGUUCUUUGAUGGCUCUAAGAUGUUGAAUGGUUCCGGUGCUGGGGUUGUCCUGGUUUCCCCCAGAGGAGAUAAGCUCAGAUAUGUGCUCCAGAUUCACUUUGACUCCUCCAACAAUGAGGCAGAAUAUGAGGCCCUCUUAUACGGAUUGCGCAUGGCCAUUUCACUCGGCGUCCGUCGCCUGAUGGUCUAUGGCGACUCGGAUUUAGUGGUCAACCAAGUGAUGAAGGAGUGGGACGUGAGAAGCCUAGCCAUGACUGGAUACUGCAGUGCAGUGAGGAAGCUGGAAAAGAAGUUCGAGGGGUUGGAGCUCCAUCAUAUACCCCGACUGAAAAAUCAAGCAGCUGAUGAUCUAGCAAAGAUAGGUUCCAAGAGAGAAGCCAUUCCGAGUGGUGUGUUCUUGGAGCAUAUACACACUCCGUCAGUCAAAGAAGAUCCUUUCACCGAAGAAGCUCCACAGCCCAAGAGUGCCACAGAUCCGACUGAGGUUGAAGUCCCAGCAGUGGUUGACUUGGUCAUGGAGGUCUUGGUGGUCAUUCCCGACUGGACAGUUCCAUAUAUCGCGUAUAUCCUGAGAAAAGAGCUCCCGGAGGAUGAGGAAGAGGCUCGACAGAUCGUCCGUCGAUCUAAGGCCUUUACCGUAAUCAAAGGACAAUUAUACAAAGAAAGCGCGACUGGAGUUGGUCAGAAGUGCAUAACACCAGAAGAAGGUCGAAUCAUCCUCAAUGAUAUCCACUCAGGAACCUGUGGUCAUCAUGCGUCCUCUCGGACCAUCGUGGCCAAAGCCUACCGAGCCGGAUUUUACUGGCCAAAGGCGAAUGAGAUGAUAAAGGAAAUAGUGGAUAAGUGCGAGGGAUGUCAGUUCUACUCGAAUAUGUCGCACAAGCCUGCAUCGGCUCUGAAGACCAUCCCACUCGUCUGGCCUUUUGCAGUAUGGGGGUUGGACAUGGUCGGUCCUUUGAGAACAGGGCGAAGUGGCUUCACGCAUGUACUGGUGGCAGUCGACAAAUUCACCAAGUGGAUUGAGGCUAAACCAAUCAAGAACCUUGACGCCGGUGCUGCUGUUAGCUUCAUCAGGGAACUAAUAUUCAGAUAUGGAAUCCCGCACAGCAUCAUUACGGAUAAUGGGUCGAACUUUGACUCGGAGGAAUUCAGAGAUUUCUGUAACUCUCAAGGCACACGAGUCGACUACGCUUCAGUCGCUCAUCCGCAGUCGAAUGGACAAGCAGAGCGAGCCAAUGGCCUGAUUCUCAAGGGAUUGAAACCCCGACUGAUGCGUGAUCUCAAGCAUGCAGCUGGAGCUUGGGUCGACGAACUUCCCUCGGUGCUUUGGGGACUGCGUACCACACCUAAUCGGUCGACCGGAAGAACUCCAUUCUUCUUGGUCUACGGAGCUGAAGCAGUCUUACCGAGUGAUCUUCUCCACAAUGCUCCUCGAGUCGAAAUUUACAACGAAGCAGAAGCUGAACAAGCGCGGCAGGACGCAGUCGACCUUUUAGAGGAAGAAAGGGAGAUGGCUCUGAUCCGGUCGACCAUCUACCAACAAGAUUUGCGUCGUUUCCACGCCAGAAAUGUGAGGGGUCGAGCCUUCCAGGAAGGAGAUUUAGUUCUCCGAGUGGAUCAGAAGAAACAACACAAGCUUGCUCCUUCUUGGGAAGGACCCUUCAUCGUCACCAAAGUUCUCCACAACGGGGCGUACCGUCUUUACAACGUCGAGCAUAAUAUCGACGAGCCCCGAGCUUGGAACGCGGAACUACUCCGCCCAUUUUUCACUUAAGUUUAAUCACUCGGAUGAGUUGCAAUAAAGUACUUCUGUAGUCCAUGGACCUCAAGAUAAUAGUGUCAUAGUUCCUCCAUAAUUUUUGUCACUUUUUAUUUUGUCCAAUAAAAUUUCCCCUCAGUGGGUGACUUAGCCGCGAAUCCGUUUCGCCUAAGUUUGUAAAAAUCCUCCGAGCGGUGAGUCAGACUCCCACUCGGAGGCUUAGCUGCGAAUCCGUUUCGCCUAAGAUUAAAUAAAAUCCUACCGAGUGGUAAGCCAGACUUCCACUCGGAGGCUUAGCUGCAGUCCAAGUACUCGCCUAAGUUAUGAAAAUCCUACCGAGUGAAGAGCAAACCUCUCACUCGGGGGCUUAGCCGCAGCCCAGUGCUCGCCUAAGAUCAAAUAAAAUCCUACCGAGUGGUAAGCCAGACUUCCACUCGGAGGCUUAGCUGCAGUCCAAGUACUCGCCUAAGUUAUGAAAAAUCCUACCGAGUGGUAAGCCAGACUUCCACUCGGAGGCUUAGCUGCAGUCCAAGUACUCGCCUAAGUUGUCAAAAAUCCUACCGAGUGAAGAGCAAACCUCUCACUCGGGGGCUUAGCUGCAGCCCAGCGCUCGCCUAAGUUAUCAGAAAUCCUACCGAGUGAAGAGCAAACCUCUCACUCGGGGGCUUAGCUGCAGCCUAGCGCUCGCCUAAGUUAUCAGAAAUCCUACCGAGUGAAGAGCAAACCUCUCACUCGGAGGCUUAGCUGCAGUCCAAGUACUCGCCUAAGUUAUCAAAAUUCCUACCGAGUGAAGAGCAAACCUCUCACUCGGGGGCUUAGCUGCAGCCCAGCGCUCGCCUAAGUUAUCAGAAAUCCUACCGAGUGAAGAGCAAACCUUUCACUCGGAGGCUUAGCUGCAGCCCAGUGCUUGCCUAAGAUAUAGAAAUCCUACCGAGUGAAAAGCAAACCUCUCACUCGGGAGGCUUAGCUACAGCCCAGCGCUCACCUAAGUGGACUAAGGAAUAAGUCGAUUGCAGUAAGCACCCCGCUUUGGACCUGCAAAAGGCAUUUCGAGCCAAAAGCAAUCAUAUUCAAACACCAAAUUCAAGUUCGGAUCGAUACCUAAAGGAACCGAAAGUGCUCAGGCGCUAAGCCCGUUAAGGUUUAUCGGUUACAACUCCACUCGGCAUACCGAGGCAAAUUUAAAGCGUCGAGUUUAGAAGAAGUUUUUUACCCCUCCUGUGGAGGGCUGGAAGGUGCAACAAACUCAUCAAGAUCAAUUCCAUCUGCGAUCCGAGUGGCAGCCGCAAGGAAAGUUUCCAUAAAGGACCUGAAGUCGUGUUUCUUGGUGUUGGCCACCUGGAGGGCCGCCAGCUUGUCUUCUCGCGCAUCUUUGCAGUGGACUCGGGCCAGACACAGAGCAACAUCUGCACCGCACCGAGCCAAGGACUUUUUCCACUCCUGCACUCGACCAGGGAUCGUGUUCAAGCGAGCCAUCAGCGACUCGAGGUCGUUCUGAAGUGUCUCCCCGGGCCAGAGCGUCGAGUCGAUGCGAGAUGUGGCGACCUUCAGCCUUGCAAGAUAGUCCACGACAACUGCAACAUGGGACUCCAGUCGGAAAACAUUCAUGGCAACUUCGUCAUCCAUCGGAGAAUUGACGGGGUCAAGGUUUGGUUCCAGCCGGCUAGUUUCUUCUUCAAAGUUUUGACAAAAUUCUGCAAGGACGAUCACCGAGUCAAGGCGAUGGUCGAAUGGAAAAACCACGGUUGGAAAUGAUCGCCGAGCAUAGAGAUUUACCUUCAAGCAUAAGAAACAGCUUCUUGGCAAGACCAUUCAGGAAGGCCUCCAGAUCUUUUUUCUUCCCAAGAGCAGCUUUCAGAUUGGCAUUUUCUUGCUCAAGCUUGGCGACUGAAGCUAACUUCUCGUCAACAAGCUUGAUCUUCUCAGCUAGUUCAAGGUCCUUCUUCCGUUGGGCCUCCCUCACCUUACCUGCAAGUUACAGCAAGAUCAGAUUUUGAAACAAAUAAAGGGAAAAAGCAGUCGUCAAGGUCUCACCAAACAUACCUUCGGUCUCCUCCUUUGCCUUCGUCAGAUUCUCCUGAACCAGCUACAAAUUCAGCUCGAGCUGAAUGUGCUUGUUUUCCAGCUCAGAGUAGCGAGCCACAAGAUCACAGGAGUUCUGCGAAGAACCAAUCGACUAAAAUGUCAAAUAUAAUUCACUUCCGAGUGAAAAAGGAAAAAUCACGCGUUUCUAAGACUACAGCCGAAUACGAGCAUUCGACCGUAGUCUCGGGGACUACACCCAGUGGGUGCACUCAGCGUGCCCCCACUAAUCGACCAGUCGAAGACAGAGUCGACCAGUCGACCGUUUGCGAAAUCCAGUCGCCUUAGUCGAAUGACGAAAAGACUGAAAUUAUAAAGCCUAAGGCCGACUGCCCGCAGUCGACCUUAGCCUUGGGGACUACACCCAGUGGGUGCACUCAGCGUGCCCCCACUAAUCGACCAGUCGAAGACAGAGUCGACCAGUCGACCGGUUUGCAAAAUCCAUUCGACAUAGUCGAAUGACGGAAAGACUGAAAUUAUAAAGCCUAAGGCCGACUGCCCGCAGUCGACCUUAGCCUUGGGGACUACACCCAGCGGGUGCACUCAGCGUGCCCCCGCUAACACGGAGUUUAACUCGACACACCCAGUGGGUGACUACUAUAAAUUCUGGAAAGAAAAGUUUCUGAUAGCAUAUCCUAACAGAACAAAUGGUGGUCGACUGACCUGAACAUUGCGUUGGAGGGCGGAACUGGCGUCGUAAGCUGCCUGGCUCGCAUCCCGGAUGGUCUUCAACUGCUCCAUCAUGAUCCCUGCCUGGCGUAUUGCCUCCUUCGCUGCGCCAGCUUGGUCCUCUGGGACGUGGUGCGUCGUGAAGAGGGAGGGCUGCGGAGCACUCGUCAGUGGAUCUGCGAAGGACACGGUGUGUCGAGUGGUGUUCCCCUCCUCCGCGACCAGAGCCUCAGGCACCGUCACAUCCUGGGUCACCUUGCUGGCAGACGCUUUCCUACUCCUUCUGUACUUCAGCGGUUCCUCAUCUUCAUCAUCAUCAGGGAGAGUGAUUACAACAUUGGAUGGAGCUACAGAAAAGAAUCAGGAUUAGAUCAUGAGUCAGUCGACUAAAGACAGUGUUAAGAAUAUAGUACCAGGUUUUGAGGUUGCUGCGCCCUCCAUCUCAUGGUCGUCAGCCCGGGCCGAGGUCUCAGAAGUAGCAGCACUGCAACUCCAAAGAGUCAGUCGACUAACUCCAGCGCCAACCAGAGAUAAAGUUCACACAAAACAAGAAGGCUUAAGCAACAUGAUUACCCUGAUAUGGUGGGGAUGGACACCUUCAUCUUCGGCAGGUGCUUGGUCGGCUUCGACGGGGCCGCCCUGGGCUGCUUCGGCGCCUUUUCAGUCGGCGCCGGAGAGGUGGUCCGAGGGCGCUUGGUCGACUGUGUAACAGUCGCGACCCCCUCGCCGCGUUCAGUCGCAGGGUCAUGGACAAGUUUCGACCGCCUUUCCGAGCGCGGUGGUGCGACCUCCUCCUCCUCCUCCUCUUCCCCGUCCUCAUCGUCAUCAUCAUCAUCGUCAUCGUCAUCAUCAUCGGCCUCGGCGGCGUCUGAGUCCCACUCCUCCUCCUGGCUCUCGCCCCCGCUCGCUUCUCCCUCCUCAGUCGGAGCCUGCGCUCCGUUGGGCAUCGAGUACAGUUCAGUGAGGGUCUGAGAGACAACAAGACAAAGAUCAGUCGACCGAUCGGCAGAGAAAGCAGAAAUAAAUAUGACGAGAAUACAACGGGAAGUGGGGCAGAAAUGCCUUGUUUGGGUCACUGUGGCAGUCGAGUGGAGGAAUCCUUCUGGCCCCGUGAGGGUUGUCCUUGUUCCCAGUAACAGCGGCCAUCCACCUUUCCAGAGUGGCAUCGUCGACUGCUUCUGGAUUGACCCGAGUCACAUCCUCAGUCCCACAGUACAACCACAUGCAAUGGCUCCGGAACUGAAGAGCCUGGAUUCGGCGCCUAAGGAAAACUUCCAGGAGAUCCAUGCCCGUCACUCCCUCCCGAACCAACUGAACUACGCGCUCCAUCAGCAUCUUCACGUCAGCUUUCUCCUCCGGAAUCAGCUUCAGAGAGGAGGGCUUGUUCACUCGGUCCAUGGUAAAUGGAGGGAGUCCACUCGACUGCCCCGGUGUCGACUCAUCCUGGCAGUAGAACCAGGUCGACUGCCAGCCUCUGACUGACUCGGGAAAUGUCAUGGCUGGGAAGGUGCUCUUGUUUCUCACCUGGAUCCCCAGACCUCCACACAUUUGGACCACUCGGGUUCUUUCGUCGCCUGGACUCGCCUUCUUCACAGUUUGAGAGCGACAUGUGAAUAUGUGCUUGAACAAGCCCCAGUGCGGUCGACAGCCCAAAAAACUCUCGCACAUGGACACAAACGCGGCAAGAUAGGCGAUAGAAUUCGGGGUGAAGUGGUGGAGUUGCGCUCCAAAAAAGUUCAAGAAACCACGGAAGAAAAUGCUCGGCGGCAAAGAGAAUCCGCGGUCGACAUGGGUAGCCAGAAGCACGCACUCACCCUCUUCCGGCUGGGGCCGCCACUCUUUCCCUGGAAGCCUCGCAGCUCCAUGGGGGAUCAGGCCCUCGUUGGCCAUGUCGAGGAGAUCCUUCUCCGUGAUGGUCGACUGGAUCCAAUCUCCCUGGACCCAGCCUUUUGGCAGGCGGGAUCUGGACGAAGACCCACCGCGGCUGGUGGAUCUCCCCUUCCCCUUCUCCGUCGCCGACGCUUUCUUCGCGCGCUCCAGCGCCGCCGUCUUCUCCUUGACCAUGGCUUCCGGCGGGGCGCGUGAGGAGAAGUGGUGCGGAGGCGAGAGCGAGCGCGUUGGGCGGAGACGAAGGAGGCAGAGAGAGAAUGCUGAGGCACUGUUCAAAAAACCCUCGCCGGGCGCAUUUAUAAGAUCCCUUCCGAGUGGAUGACAGGUGGGCCCGGCAGAUCUAAUCAUAUCCUGGAACUGUUACGCGGGCGGGAUACGUGGCGAAGAAAGCGGCGCGGGGAUCGAGGCGUCUAUGUCUCGUCCCAUCUGAACGCCGCGGUCCGCUCCGCUUCGCGCGUUUCCCCAAAUUUCGCAUCCCGCGGAAUCCGCGAACGGCAGAUCGGUCUGUCAGGCGCGGGAUUUCCUGCGAUCCGUCGCUCGGAAAUCGACAAAGCCCGAAAGAUCACUCGACGAAAGAAAAGAAUGGAUCGAGUCGACUGAAGACAAGUUGCUCACUAUCAACGAAGAGAUUCUCUGGUUCAGAACAACGCACGACCAGUGUGCAAAGGUUAAUCGAAAACAACAUCAACUCCUCCGUCACUCAAAGCCUCAAUCCAUCCGGGGGCUAAUGAUGGGGUCAUGUACCUAGGGUAGGGUCACAGACCUGAUCUAACUACCCUGCCCAAGGACACCCUUAGAAGAGGUCACCUUCCAGUCGGCCAACGAGGGACUCACUCGACUGACUUGAAGGACUCGACCACGAAGACUCACUCGACUACCAGGAGGUCAAAAGGCACUCUGCACUGCAACGGCCUGUAGUUAAGUAGACUUUAUGAUAGUUAAGACACUUUAUGUGGGACGUUACCAGUAACGCCCCGGACUAAAUACACCUUAAACCCUUCAUUACGUGGGCUGGCUGGGGUCCUGGCGCACUCUAUAUAAGCCACCCCCCUCCACAGGCAGAAGGGUUCGGCAUCCUGUAAUUGAUAUACACAUAAUCCACUCGACCGCCUCCGGGCUCCGAGACGUAGGGCUUUUACUUCCUCCGAGAAGGGCCUGAACUCGUACAUCUCUUGUGUUUACAACCUCUCCAUAGCUAGGACCUUGCCUCUCCAUACCUACCCCCCACUCUACUGUCAGACUUAGAACCACGACAGUUGCCACAAGAGCAUUUCUAGCUUCGAUGGUACCUGUACUUUCCACAUCUUGGUCCACGUUCGCUACUCUACCUCCAAGUUCGAUGUGUCUCCAUGUUCCUCUAGCCACGCCUCCCGUCGGAACUUUGUGGCCACGAGCAUUCAAUAGGCUUACCAAAUGGAGAACACAACCUUCCUUCCAAAAUUCCAAGACCAAAAUGAACCACCUGGCUAGUGCGCAAGGGUUGAUAGGAUCACCUCGACAUCUGUUACGAUGAAGGUCACUUGGAUCUUUUCCAGGUCCCGGGCUGCAGAGUUUUGUAAGAUGAGCUCACUAACCAGUCGUGGAGGGUUCUCAGAUCUGGCACAUGUUAUAGUCUAUGGGUAACCAGUUGUGUUGCCACUUGUCAGUAGUUUUCCCGUCCCCGAUCCUUCAAAUGAGCCCUUGAGCGAGAAUGUCUCUCCCCUCUGGAAUCGAUCGGCAAAUUUGGGUUGGAGAAUUCCCUAAUUGUGCUUGCAGGAAAUCAUGUGUUGUUUGCUUGUGACAUCUUUUCAACUCGACUGCUUUUUCACUUCCUAGUAACUAUGCUCUUAACUGACUAGUUAUAGUGUAACCAACAACCCUGCUCAGGUUCGAGGUUGUCUAUAUAUCGCUUGUAGGGAGGUGUAUGGGACGCUCGCCUACAACACAAUUAAAUGGGUCGGGCCAAGUUUCUAAUCCCCUAGCUCUUGCCUAACCCAAAAUAUAGCACAACGUAAGCACAUUUUUUCUUCCCCUUUCCCACCUUUAGUUUCUGUUUAUUUGUUCUCUAUUAAAAUUCAAUAUAUUUAGGCUAUUGUUAUGUAAUUUAAAAAAGUUCAUGUAUCAUACACAAGUGUUCAUGUAGUUCAUAAAAAAGAUUGUUCUUGAAAUUUUUCACAAUGUUCACACAUCCGAGAAAAAAUGUUCAUGAAGUUUUAAUAUAAUGUUCGUACAUUCAGAAAAUGUCAGUAACAUCUAACAAAAAUGUUCAUCCCAUUUCAAAAGAAAAAUCAAACAUUUACUUCUUGAUUUUUUUAACAAUGUUCAUGAAAGUGAAAUUUUUGUUUGUGCAGCCUAAAGAAAAUGUUCAUAACAUAUAUGAAAGUAUUGGUGCCAUUUAAAAAAAACUUCACAACACUUAAAAUAAGUUUUCACUUUUUAAAAAUGUUCAUGGUAAUAAAAACAAUAAUUUGCACAACUUCUACAAAUGUUGCACCAUUUUUUUAAAUAACACUCAAAAAUGUUCAUGCAAAUAUAUAAUUUUUUUCGUGCAAUACUUAAAAUAUGUUCAUGACAUGUAAAAAGAUGUUCAUACACAAAAUCCAUGGAUUAAAACAAUUUAUAAAUUUGGGAAAUGAAGAUAUUAAAAAAUAAAAUGGAAGACUGGAAACAAAAAAUUGAAGAGAAAAUGAAAAAUACGAAAAGAAAUAUAGAAAAACUGGCAGAGAAACAAGUAAAGUAAAGGGGCUGCUAUGCGUCAGCCGGGGAUCUUUUAAAAGAUCCGCCGCCUCGCGAGUCGUUGGAUGUGGCACACUCCAGCGGCUCAACGUCCAACUCUACUUCGCAACACAUAUCUUGUUGCAGUGACAUUUGCAACAAAGGUUAUGUUACAUAAUAUAUUUUUUGUAACAUAGGUUGUGUUGCAGGAUUUUUUUUGCAAUAGAGUUCUUGUCGUACAUAUUAUUUCAACUGAGGUUUUGUUGCAGAGUUUUUUGCAACAGAGCUGAUGUUGCAAAAUCUUGUCUAAGUUGUAGUCGCUGUUCGCCGCUAUGGUUUGCAACACCACUGUUGUUGCAAAAUAAGGUAAAGGGGCACGUGGUAGGCAAGGGAAAUAACGAACGUGCGUGUGGACACAUGAAUAAAGGGUGAUCCAACAUCUACACAUGCGGCAGAACUCUUCGCACGAUCAGCCGGCAGAGCAUUAGCGUUUAUGAAAAAGAAAAGAAAUAAAAUGGGAAAUGAUAUGGUUCAGCCGGCGGAUUAUCACACUGGCAUCUUCCGCAUUGGUUGCACUCCCACGUGUGAUGGUGGACCUGGCUCCCCAUGAUCUCUACUUUCUACAACAAGGCUUUUGUGGCAAAAAAAAAACUAUAACAAGAUCUCUGUUAUAAAAAUAAUUAAAUUGCAACAAGCAUCUGUUGGAAAAAAAACUGUAACAAGACCUUUAUUGUAAAAAAAUACAACGAGACCUCCGUGGCUAAAAAAAAAGACUGUAAAAAGACCUCUGUAGCAGGAAAAAAAAUGUUCCUCCGUCUUACAGGUUUCAAUCGACAACAGCGGAGCAGCAGGCCUUUCAGUUGUGGUGACUCCAUAUAUCAAUCUGCUACAUCUCCUAUGGCUCACCAGUACGUCUACAGCUCCAGAGUAGUCAAAAACACAGUAGCAGUUUGCUCCAGCAACGCCAUGAGCUAUGGCGUUUGUGGAACAGUUUGGCUAAUUUACAUCUAGAUGAUUUUUACUUAUGUCACAUCUAACUUGCCUACCGUAUGAUCAAGGCUGUAGGAUUCGUGCAAACUGUUUUUUCUUGUCCGUGUCGCAGUGUCCCUCGCGCUGGAAACGAGUCGCUUUCUUUGUGUCAGGCCGGUGGCAGUUUUCCUGUUGUACGUGCCUGCUGGUGUGGAAUGGGGAGGUUAUUUCAUAUGGGCUCCAAGUAUUUUUUUUCUUUCAAGCAUGUGUACGAUAUGGAUGUAGAAUUCAAAGAGUUGAUUCUCAAAAAAAAAACCCAAAGAGUUAAGCUUUCAUACAUAUUCUCCUUGAGCCUUCUUCUCUAGUUUCUCAUUGUGUUUAUUCUUUUUUGCUUUUUUGUUUUUGUUUUUUUUUAAUUUGAAAUUUAUGAUAUUUUUUGUAAUUCAAUUUCUUCUCCUUUUAAUUUUUAUUUUUUCCAUUUCCCAAUUUGUGAUAUUUUCAGUACGUGAACACUUUUUGAAGUGUGCGGACACUUAUUAAAGUACAUGCAAUAUUUGUGAAUAAUUUUUUUAAUUUUGUAAAUUCAUCAACAUUUUAAAAAUAUUUGAACACUUUAACAAUGUCUCAUCUAAGUUGUGUUAUGUCUGAUCUAUUUGUUGUAUUUUUUGGGUCCAAAUUUGAUCCCACUUUGUUUUGUUGCGCGUGCCCCGAGUCAUUGCGAUGUUCCAUUGUCGACCAUUUUUGUUAGGUCCAUUUUUAGUUUUUUCCCGGUCAGUUUUGAUGGUAUUUUUUUCUCGUUUGUUGUUUGCCUGCUUUGUAGAGCGAAAUAGACAUGGUGCUUUGCUUGCUGCCUCUUUUAUCAUUUUCAUUCUGCGGCUGCUUUGCCUCCUUGUAUUUUUCUCUUUGUUUUUCAUUAGUUCAACACCUUUUAUGUGCGGCCGUUUUUUUGUUGUUUUUGCCUUGGUUACAGGUCCACCCUCAAUUUGCAACUGGACCAAUUAUUUUUUCGCCUUAGUUGCAAGUCCAGUAUUAAUUCACAACUGUACCCAACCUUUUUUUCUUCAGUUGCAAGUUCACCUUCGACUCGCAACCGGGCUUGAUGUUUCCUUCGUAUCGGAACUGAGCUCAAAAAAAUUUGGUGUCAGUUGCAAGUCCAACCUCAACUUGCAACUCAGUUAGAUUUUUUUCGCCUCAAAUGCAAGUCCAACAUCGACUAGCAACUAGGGGCUGAUUUUUUGGUCCAGAUGCAAGUCAAUCACCGACUCGCAACUAGGGGUAUUUGUGUUUGUCGAGGAUCCCCAGUUGCAUAUUGACAAUCGACUCAAAACUAGGGAAGUGUGUGUUUGUCGAGGGUCCGCAGUUGCAUGUUGACCAUCGACUCGCAANNNNNNNNNNNNNNNNNNNNNNNNNNNNNNNNNNNNNNNNNNNNNNNNNNNNNNNNNNNNNNNNNNNNNNNNNNNNNNNNNNNNNNNNNNNNNNNNNNNNNNNNNNNNNNNNNNNNNNNNNNNNNNNNNNNNNNNNNNNNNNNNNNNNNNNNNNNNNNNNNNNNNNNNNNNNNNNNNNNNNNNNNNNNNNNNNNNNNNNNNNNNNNNNNNNNNNNNNNNNNNNNNNNNNNNNNNNNNNNNNNNNNNNNNNNNNNNNNNNNNNNNNNNNNNNNNNNNNNNNNNNNNNNNNNNNNNNNNNNNNNNNNNNNNNNNNNNNNNNNNNNNNNNNNNNNNNNNNNNNNNNNNNNNNNNNNNNNNNNNNNNNNNNNNNNNNNNNNNNNNNNNNNNNNNNNNNNNNNNNNNNNNNNNNNNNNNNNNNNNNNNNNNNNNNNNNNNNNNNNNNNNNNNNNNNNNNNNNNNNNNNNNNNNNNNNNNNNNNNNNNNNNNNNNNNNNNNNNNNNNNNNNNNNNNNNNNNNNNNNNNNNNNNNNNNNNNNNNNNNNNNNNNNNNNNNNNNNNNNNNNNNNNNNNNNNNNNNNNNNNNNNNNNNNNNNNNNNNNNNNNNNNNNNNNNNNNNNNNNNNNNNNNNNNNNNNNNNNNNNNNNNNNNNNNNNNNNNNNNNNNNNNNNNNNNNNNNNNNNNNNNNNNNNNNNNNNNNNNNNNNNNNNNNNNNNNNNNNNNNNNNNNNNNNNNNNNNNNNNNNNNNNNNNNNNNNNNNNNNNNNNNNNNNNNNNNNNNNNNNNNNNNNNNNNNNNNNNNNNNNNNNNNNNNNNNNNNNNNNNNNNNNNNNNNNNNNNNNNNNNNNNNNNNNNNNNNNNNNNNNNNNNNNNNNNNNNNNNNNNNNNNNNNNNNNNNNNNNNNNNNNNNNNNNNNNNNNNNNNNNNNNNNNNNNNNNNNNNNNNNNNNNNNNNNNNNNNNNNNNNNNNNNNNNNNNNNNNNNNNNNNNNNNNNNNNNNNNNNNNNNNNNNNNNNNNNNNNNNNNNNNNNNNNNNNNNNNNNNNNNNNNNNNNNNNNNNNNNNNNNNNNNNNNNNNNNNNNNNNNNNNNNNNNNNNNNNNNNNNNNNNNNNNNNNNNNNNNNNNNNNNNNNNNNNNNNNNNNNNNNNNNNNNNNNNNNNNNNNNNNNNNNNNNNNNNNNNNNNNNNNNNNNNNNNNNNNNNNNNNNNNNNNNNNNNNNNNNNNNNNNNNNNNNNNNNNNNNNNNNNNNNNNNNNNNNNNNNNNNNNNNNNNNNNNNNNNNAACUAAGGGUGUGUCCUUGGCCCCUAGCUGCAAGCCGACCAUCGACUCGCAACUAGGGGUGUAUGUGUUUGCAAGUGUCCUUAAUUUCAUGUCCACCACUGAAUCACAGCUAGGAGUGUGUGUGUGUGUGUGUGUUUGUCGAGGGUCCCCAAUUGCAUGUCGACCAUCGACUCGCAACUAAGGGUGUGUGCCUGGCGCCCAGCUGCAAGCCGACCAUCGACUCACAACUAGGGGUUUUUGUGUUUCUCAAGGGUCCCUAGUUGCAAGCCGACCAUCGACUCGUAACUAGGAGUGUGUGUACUUUUCUAAAAAAGUUUAACUUUUUAAGAAAAGAGUGUGCAUUUUCAAAAAAUGUUCACGUUUUCAUAAAAUGUUCGGAAGUUUGAAAAUAAUGUUCUUAUAUUCCAAAACAUUAUUCUCAAUAGCAAAAAAUGUUCUCAACAACUAUUUUUCUCGAUUACAAAUGAAAAUUUUGAAGAAAUGUUGGGGAAGUUCCGAAACUGUUUCGAUCGGCCGCUUGAGAUAGGUAUUCAGAUAUUCACGGUGAUUAGAUACAUGAGCGCCUAACAGUGUGUGUGUGACAGUAAGAGGUUUUUGUGUUGAAUCCGUGCGGCUGCUCUUGUUUUUUUGACUUUUCCAACGUUGCACUGUCGACCAUCGUGUGGAAUUCGUAUGGCCGGCUCAGCCGGAGGUUCCUUGCGCGGAACACGGCCCGCAGCGCGGGGCACCUCACAAAAUAAACAAACAAAAAAGAAAUCAAACAAACAAGCAAGGCCCAACCUUUGGAGUGACGAGGCACGAAGGGAGGAAGCGCGGGUGACAGACCAUCGAGGAGAGAACAAACGGAUAGAUCAGGAAAGCCACAAAUAGGGUGACAUUAUCUUAGAUGUGACAAACCCUUUGUGGAAACGCAGCGGAGUUUGGCAUUUCGGACUGCCACGUCUGCAGCUCAGUAGCACGCGAGGGUUUGGUGUUUCUAUUUAGGGCAAAAACGACACGGUUCGUGGCGUUUUUGAAAAGGAUCAGAUCGCGAAAUAAAAUUCGAAUGAGUUCAUUUUGUGCUAAAGUUCCUGACAAAGUCAAGACAAUGAUUUUGACCCAGCUAAAACGCCACCGUAUGCGCGAGAACUAUGUCUUGCUUGCUGCGGGACAUAGUUCCGGCUCACCUUGGGCACGAGGCUAAUGGGCUAGCUGGAUACUGUAGCUGCCUCUGCGUGGGUUUUUCUCUCUAUGUUUUUCUUUCUCGAUUUUGACUGUUUGCAUCCGUUUUCUUUGGAUUUUUUUCUCUUCAGGUAUCUUUUGAUUUUAUUUCUUCUUUCUUUGGAUUUCUUAGUCUUUUAUUUUUCUCGUUUAGUUUUUUAUUUUAUUAUUGUUCUUCAACCUAUGUCUAAUUUUUUAUAUAUAUUGUAUAUUUUUGAUAUACUUCUGGAAAAAAAUUAUAGAUGUUAAAUAUUUUUAAAAAACAUGACUAACAUUUAUUCAAAUGUCUACUUUGAUGUCUAUCUUCUUUCAUACAUAUUGUGCAUUUUUCGUAUACAUCUAAAACAUUUUUUAUAUAUAGCAUUUUUCAAAUACAUGAGAACAUUUUUUCAAAUAUAGAUGACUACAUUUUUUUCAUACACAAUGUAUAAUUUUCAUAUACAUACGAAACAUUAUUUUUAUACAUGUUUAACAUUUUUAUGAUACAUGGUUAACCAUUUUCUCUAAUACUACAUGUUUUGAACAUUUUUUAUAAUCCUAUGUGUUAAACAUUUUUCAAAUACACGUGGACACAUUUUUUUGA
Molecule: long non-coding RNA, 51415 nt
Filed under: Triticum aestivum (bread wheat)
Lineage: Eukaryota; Viridiplantae; Streptophyta; Magnoliopsida; Poales; Poaceae
Description: long non-coding RNA (TAES_LNC010523)
Source: RNAcentral